ACUAAGAAAAGCACUGAGUCUCCAUAAAACAUUUUUAAGAGCCCUCAAUUCUUGAAAGAGUACGUCCCAAUACUACAGCAAUACCUUGGUUAACUUGUUUCUUAUUCCAUAUUUAUCAGGUUGUUCUUGGCCUAAAAUUCAUUAACUUAACUACAGCCUACAGCCUAAGAUCUAAUUCUAUGACUUGGUACAUAUUUCACUCUCCAUGAGUCUGGUGCCAAGGUAAUGUCAGGAAAUAUACCAUCCUUCUGUUACAGCUAAAUCUUUUACAGCAUCCUAAUUGAAAUUUGUCAAUUCCAGUGACCUGCAGAGGUAUGGUAAUUCUUUAAAAGACAUAGCAUACUUUUCAAAAAACAAAAGGACCUAUUCAACUCCCAAAACAUGCAUUCAGCACAAUAAGCACAACCAAAAUUAGUGGCAAAUUAAUGGAAAGGAAUUUCAGGAACUUGACUUAAAUUCUUGACAGUUAACUUGGAUAACUCAAAAUCCGCCGCCCGGGGGGGGAACCAGCCCAAGAUGAAAGGGUAAAUUACCUCAAACAAUGCUUCAGCAAGCAUGACUAUUCGUGAAAUGCUUGCACGAGCACCAGACUCCUCAGCCCUUAACAUCAAACCACAUGAGCAUGCACCAUCAGGGUGAAUUCCAGCUGGACAGGUGGCUGCCCGUCGAUCAGUCCCACUUCGACCAACAUCGUGAAAUCGUUCCCAUAUCUGCUAGGGAAUAAUGGUGCUUGAUAAAGUAAGAUUUAACCAUGCAGAUGGGAUACCACUAGUAAAUUAACAGUGAAGUCAAGACAUGCAGUCAAAAUCUAACUUAGAUUCUAGAUCAGUUUUAACGCUGAGGAGGACUGGCACAUAGACUAAUGGAACCAAUAGGAUAGAGGCGCAAUCUACAUGAUAUGAUGGAAAACAUAGUGUCGUAACUACAAAACAAAUUAAUUGUAGCUAGAAGUAUUCUGAUAAAUGGAAGACCAGUAGUAUCUGAGCAAUUACCUCAGAACUGGAAUGCCACCGACGUUCAUUGGUAUUCUGGUCGCUACUUGGAUGUGGUCGUGAAUCACCUCCAAUCCCAUCCUCAAAGAAAUCGCCAUUAAAAUCAAGAAGCCAUCUGUCAUAAGAUUCAAGUCCAUCGGAGUCAUCUGCUGUAAAAAGAUGUGAUCUGGACUCUGCAUUCCUUCUAGAACUGCGUCUUGAGAAAGCAUCCCAGAAAAGUCUUCUGCUAUUAUGUCUUGCUUCAUGAUUGCUCAAUCCAGCAGAACUACUAGGUGACAUAUUGGAGGAGACACUCACCAUGUCAACUUGAAGUACAUUCCUGUCUGUAUGACCCUGAUCUCUCUCUGUCAACAGGAAUCCUAGACUCGAAGGAGUAAUCUGCUGAGAAGUAUCACCCACUGGAGAUUCAGAAAGAACAGAUGCUGAACCAGAAUCACAGUCGUGGAAAAGCAUCAGUUCAUUUGCACAAUUUUCAACUGAUACUUCAUCUGAUGAAGAUUCUCCAAGUCCAACAGAAGAUGGACAAUUAGAAAGCAUAAAGCCAGCACAACUAUGAGGCACAUUCUCAUUCAUCACAUUGUUACCCCGGUUAAGAGCAUCUGCAUUCGCCCUGGCAUUUGCAGAUUCUGUUUCUGUAGAAGGUUCAUCUUCAUAGGAUGUACUAGCAUCAUAGCUUCUACAAGUAAGAAGUGAUUGAGAAUUAAACGCUAAUUCCUUAUUCUCAUACAACCUUUUUCCUUUAUCAAUUGCCUCAACAUUUCCAGGAGAAUCUUCUCUAGAAGAGCUAUCGCCAGGCAAUGUGCCUCUUUGAGAUCCAGCUCCAGUUUCAGUUGUAGGAAUUGGAUGUUCAGUACCACUGUGAAAAGAAGAACUCUUAGGUGGAAUUUGGAUCUUCUCCAGACCAUCGUCUUCAGCAGAAUUUACCAGUUUUUCAGCUGGAUCAUCUUCCAUCUACAGAAAACAAUGGCCAAUAAAAAAAACUUAAACUUCAAUACCUAACCUACCUAGCCCAUUUCAAAACUUUAUUCAAAAAAAUGCAAUCCAACAAAGCAUGGAAGUCUUUCUUUGCUCCAAACAAAACAAAAAAAUAAUUCAGCAAAUUUAAAUGAUAUUGACACAAAAAGGCCACAAGUUAACACACCAACCACACCGGCAAACAAACGUAAAACCAUGCUUUGACUGCAGUUGGUUUUAUCAGCUGUACUCGAGAGUUAAAUAAUCACAGUUGAUGAUAAUAUUGCUCUCCUUUUCCUGUUACAGAACUGCAUAUGAGAUUUACACCUCACAUGGCUCUUCCAGAAGACAAAUACAUCAAAUCACUAAUUAAAAUAAUAUUUCCGCAAGAAAGGUUUGGCAGAAAGCCAGAAGAGCAGAGAGGGUUUCAAACAAACUUGCCCCAAUCCACACAAUACUUUUGCAUGCUCCAAUCUGGAAGGAAAGGCAGCACGUACAAGAAUUAUCUUCAAAUCAAGCAUACAGAUCUCAGAAGUUGCAAAUGAACCAGACAUUGCUAUCGUAUAUUAGUAUCUGCUCAUACACCUAAUAGAGUAAAUAAGAAGUAAAUAAAAAAAUAAUAAUAAAAAACCGAUUCCUCUUUCACUCUCAGGUUUACUCAAAAUAGUAACAUUUCCUCUCCUCUUCCCUCAGUUUCACUGUUAUUUCAGUAUCAAGUUCUGAAUUCAAGCUCCCAUACUGAGAAGAAGCUCAAUUCACUACAACCUAACAACUUCACCAGAAAAAAAAAAUUACAAGCUCCUCAACAAACAACGUUUAGUUUCGCACGCCAAUCAUUUAAUUCCACGAACAGAAUAUGCAAAGAUAGCAUUGCAUUCCAAAUGUGCAAGUAAUAUAUCCAGCCAUUUCAAGUUUUCUACAAUAAAAAAAUGCCCAAACUCUUCUUUUGUUCCGAAAAUCAAUUUUUCUUUUUCACUAUAAUUUUCCGAUCAGAAUCUAAUAGACUCUUAGACCCAUAAAAUAAACCAAAAAGUAAUUCUUCCCCGCGCUCAUCAUCCUAAAUCAGCCGUCACCAACAACAUUUGUCACCACCCCCACCCGGAAAAGCUCUUUACCGUUGAAGAGGAACUCAACUAAGCAACCUAUGUAAUUUUUAUGGGCCUUAUUAAAAAUGCAUGAUUUUAUCAGCUAGAAUAUAAACCAAUCAAGAAAUGCACCACAUGCCAAUCACUUUCCAACGGUUUUAAGUUAAAAAUUAAAAUAACCAAAAAAAAUCCUGAAAUCCUGAAAUAUGAAGUACCAAAAUCCAUGUAUAAAAGAAAAUGAUUCAUAUUACAUAAAACCUGUGGAGACACCUCAUGAGGAUGGCGAGAGGAAGGCAAGGCACCACAAAUGAAGAGAGAAGAGAGGACGCGUUUGAAGCUGGGACGAUGACGACGACGAUGAUGAUGCUGAGGGAGCCGAGAAGGGGGUGGGCGAGAGCCCCCUAAACGGCUACCACUGGAACCCAUUUUUAUCGAUCAAAAUUGGUAAUCAAAUGAAAACUCUCUUCUCCCAUCAUGAAAUCCUGAGGGAAGAGAGGGACGAUGUGAAAUUAUUCUAACAUUUUUCAUUCUAAACUUUUCUUGUUUUCUGUAUUUUUCAGAUUCUUAGAGGGGACGGUGGUGAUAAAUGAAAUUGGAGGGCUGAGUCAGUGGCAAGGUGUACGGGUGAGAUGUCUCUUUUGCUUCAUUUUUAUUUUUUCCUUUUUUCCAUUGUUUUGAAAACGAGUUGAAAAGUUCACUAAGUACGAUAAUAUAUAAGUUUAAAAAAUUUUAAAUAUAUGUAUCUCUUUAUUUAAUUUAUAAUGUAAAAUAAAAUGAUUCAAUUUAAUAUUUUAUUUUUUAAAUCACAAAAAUUAUUCUAAAAAUAUCAAAUUUGAGCUUUUAUGAAAAGUGUUUUUAACACAAAAAAACACCAUUCUUAAUUUUAUGAAAUGAUAUUUAUCAAAUGUAUUAAAAAUGCUUUUAACACCUAAAAAUGCUAUUUUAAAAAAAAAAUAUCACAACCCCAAACGAACCUUAGUUGCGUGAUAACUGAACUAAAUAGUAAAUAGUUGGAGUAUGUGUUUGGUAGCGAUAUUUCUCCAUCUCGUUGCUUUCACAUGACUGCGGAAAGUGACCAAAUUUUAGGAUGAUACUUGAGGGUUAAUUGUCUUUUCGAUAUAGACUUUCCAUCUAAGCUUUUAACCAGAUUUUAGUAGGUUAGGAUGGUCUUGUUGAUAGUUGAAAGGGAUUGUGUCAAAAUAUAACAAAAUCUUGCACAUGACAGAAUUGGAUAGAGUAAAUGUUAAUGGCAUUUAAAUUAUUUAUUAAUGAAACUUCGUUUGUUUUUUUCUUUUGCAUGUAAUUCUGUAUAAGAGUACAAGCGAGAUGGAGUGCCAUUGACAAUCGUUGCAAUACCAUUGUUAGAUAUUUUUUUUCCCCAUUUACUUUGUUUUAUGAUGAAUUGUGAAUGAUAGCAUCAUAAUAUCGGGUUACAUAUAUACAAUAUAUUGUUAGCAUAUCUUUAGGAGUAAAGCACGGCCUAUGUUUUUGCUCCUGUAUUAUGUGACAACUUUCGAAGAUUUGAAAAAAGACUGAAUUGGUUAAUAAGAUGGGAGGGAUUAUAAUUUAUAAGAGUAAUUUUAAAAACUUGCCCUGAGAUUUUUGACAAUUGCAGACAACUCCGAUCCCCUUACGUUUUGAAAAUUACACAUACUUUCUCUAGAACAUAGGCUUGGGUUUCACCUCAAUAAUGUAAGACCAAAAAAGUAUAUGAACGCCCAAAAUUGCCCUCAUCUAAUUUUCAAAAUAUGAAUAGUCAUUACAAUUUUUUAAAAAUUAAGAAUACACUUGUAUACUACAAAAUUAUGAGUUUUAUUACUUAGUCAAUGUCCUGAUGUUUUCCAUCCCAUGGUUUUCUACAUCCACACAAAUUUUCAAACUCUUAUCACUUUUUCUUUUUCCGAACAAACUCUUUAUUUUAGAUGCCAAAAUUCACCAUCAUAAUUUUUACCUUUAUAAUCUUUACAUCUUUAUAGGUUUCUUCCAUAUACUGCCUACCAAACUGUCAGCCAUAAAACUCACAAUUCUCAUCUUUUUCCCACUCAAAUAGCCAAGCCCCUCAAUUACCAAAUUCUUCCUUAUGUGAGUGAUAGAAGGUUACAAUUUAAUGGACAUGGGUGAAACAGUUUGGUCACAAUAUGUGACUUGGUCAAGAAGAAUUGUUUUUUCUUUUUUUUUUGGUUAUCUUUUUUAUCAAUGACUUGUCUUUGAAAAAAUUAUGAAGGUUAUUAUAGUUAUUGUCUAUCAUCAAGAGAGGUAAGUAUAAUAUUGAAAACCUCAAAGGAGCUCAAUGAAAUUGUUACAAAAGUCAGGGGAGGUUUCUGAAAUUAUCCCUAAUUUAUAAGUAGGAGGUUUUGGAUUUUAUUUAAAAAAAAAAAAAAAAAAAAAAACUUUGCAAGGAUUCCAAUCUCGGCAGAGGGUUUAUAUUUUAUUGUCUGGAGCCAUUUGAAGAUUCAAACCAACACCAUUCAGUGGACAGUGCAGAACACACAUUGGUCCUGCUGCACUCACCAUGCCACACUCAGGAUUUUCAAGAUUUAGCCCACAUUACAUUACAUUACAAUGGCCGUUGCGUGUGUGUUUAGAAUUGCUUUUCACUGAAUUGGACAGUUAAUAUCUAAGCCAUUUGCAUUCUCAGCAUCUGUGGUUGCCAGAUCAAUCGUCAAUGGAAGAAUAGGACAAAGGGAAGAUUGUUUCAUUGAACGUUCAACAUCGGAAUCUUGAUUUGUAGAUAGUAGUAAUCAUUUUCUGUGAAUGUUGGUUAGAAACCUAACGCUCGUAGCUUGAGGUCUGACCGGCAGUUAGCUGUGAAUAUCCAAUCUCAUCCCACGUAAAACAAUUCAAACACAAUUCCAGAUUUUCAGAAUUCGACCUAUAAAUACUACUCUUGCUCAACGUUCGUUUCCUCAAAUUCCCUACGACAUCUUACAUCUACCAUUCCGCUUGUCCUUCAGCAGCAGCCCAUCAGCAUGCGCGAUCCGCCGCCACCGCCACCGCCAAACACGCAUCCUCCUCCACACCACGAACCGACUCCUCCUCCUGGCCAUCACCAUCACCCCCCGCCCCCUCAUGAACCACUUCCGAAGCCACAUGCACCACCUCCACCCGGUCCUCCACACAACGAACCACCUCCACCCCAUCAUGGUCACGCUCCGCCCCAUGGAUCACCCCCUGCUCCUCCUGGACAUCAUCACCACUGACGACGCUAGCUAGCUACUUCUAUCUAGAACCUAAUGCGAACGUUUUACUACUUUUACCACUACUGUUUAUGAUGUUUAAGGUUUGCAACUGCUCCACCAGCUGCUCCUUAGCCGCCUGGGCGUGAAGCAUCUACUUCUGUGUAAUAAUAUGUACUUGAAAAUAAAAAAUAAAAAGAAAAGUUAUGGAUGCUUUUUUGUUUUUUAGUACUAUUACAAUAGAACUCUGAUGCAGAAGCAACAUUUAUUCAGUUCUUGCUUUUGCUACCAACACAGAACUCAUGUCAAACCUGGACGCAGGAAACAGUCCUUUUAACAACCAAAGCUGGAAAGUGCUUGGCUACCAAAGAACUGAAGAAAUCAUAAGUUUUCAUGCUUGAAAAUUUUUAACACCCGGAAGAUGGAGUUUCCUGUUCAUAUGUCUAGAUUUCAGCGUUAAGAAUCAAGAUUGUUGCUUCUUUGCUCAUCAUGAUCCAAACUCACAUGACGGAAGUAUAGGAUGAUUUUGAACCAUCUGGUGCAAAUUUUCAUAGCCAUGUUCUUUAAAAGUAUUUAAAAAGAAAAAAUAUGUUCUAAAAUAUGAUGUAUGUGAGAUGAAAAUUAAUUACAAAAUAUGUUGAAAAAAUACUUUAAAAUUAUUUUUAUGAAAGAUGGACUAUUCAAAUUUCAACUCUAAUAGUCAAAUUCAUUAAUGAUUCUCUCCUCUUAAAUAAAGUUUUCAAGCUAUGUCUCUCUUUUGUACCCAUUCAAUUUUGAAAUAAGUUUCUUUUUAGAAUAUCUUCUUUGAAGAUUUUAUUCAUAUAUUUUUUAAAUCAGCAAUUCUUAAAUCUCAUAUAUAUACACACACAUGCACACGUGUGUGUCCACGCGCGUGUAGUAGUGCACGACUGAGAUUCUUUUAUUCUAGUUUCCUUUAGGCCAAUUGGGCCUUCCUCUAGCACAAGUUAGAAUGCAAUUGACAGUCGGCCCAUUUGCGACAAGUUUUAAUAAGUUCAAUCCCGUCUAACUUAGUAAAAUAUUUGAAUUUCUAACCAUGAGUCUUGGAGUAAUAUAUGUGAAACUCAUACUUGACUCACAAUAUAUUCGGCUUUUGAAUCUAAUUCGAGUUUAUCCUAAACUCAUUUAUUACUACUUAAUUUUCUUAAUAUAAUUAUUAUAACCAUUAAGUAGUAAAGUUAAUUUGAAAUCUACGACAUUAUAAUUACACAUAAACUAGUAAAAAGCUCAUUAAAAAUACUAUUGUAUCUAUUUCAUUUAAAAUACAUGAAUAAUAAUAAUAAUACAUGAAAAAUAUAUUUAUUUAAUGAAAAUAAUUCUUUUUCUAUUAAUUACCGUAUUUUAAUUAUACAUUACAUAUUUAAAAAUAAUACAUUUAUAGUUACAUAUAUUAGGGUACAUAUAUAUAAUUAUAUAUCAAAAUAUUGAUAUAUUAUAUGGAUUAAUCUUUCCUACACUGACAGUGUAUAACGUUGGAUAAAUGACAACUAUAUAAAAUUUGAAUUUGAAAUUCAACUUUUGCACACAUGUCAUGAAUCCAACGGUAAUAGUGUAUACACUAUCAGUAUAUAUAAAAUUUACUUAUAUUAUAUAUAUGUGUGUGUAUGUGUGUAUGUGUGUAUGUGUGUAUGUGUGUGUAUAUAUAUAUAUAAUGGGCCAAGCUUUUAUCGAAUUGAACCAUGGAGACUCGAAUUUGGCUCACAUUUUAAUUGAACUUUAAAUUUAGGCCCAAACUCUGCUUGUCUAGAAUUAUAACAGGCAUGGCCCCUUUUCUUUUGAGCAAAAUGGGCUAAGUUCGGACUGAUCCAACACUAUUAAUAGUCCUAAAUAGGGAUAGAAGUUGACAAUUGAUAUAUGAAAAAAAAGAGUAAUAAUUAUUGCAAAACAUAUUAAAGGCUAGCAAUAUAAAAGUAAUCACAUUGGCAAAUUUUGAUUGAAAUCAAUAAAUGAUAGAAAAAUGUGUGCAAUUAUACCAAGUUUUCUCUCUCUUUUUUUUUUACUUAGGGGUAUUCCAGCCUUUCGGCCAGACUAAUUUCCUAAGAUUGUAUAGAGUUUAUUCUCAAAAAUAAACAGCAAGGUAGCAUAUAGAGGUAAAUCACAAGACUUGCUGAUAACUAUCAUAUUACGGAAUCAAUCGCAUUACUCGUGAGGGGUAAGUUUUCUCGUUCAUUAGAUAAAAAUAUCAUGAUCCAGCAGUCUAUUCUUAAACAAGAAAAAGGAAAGUGUUGAACUCUUUUGAAUUUAGCUUUGAACUAACGUGUUAUUCUCAGUGUUAUUAGACCCAGACCGGAUCGGCUGGUUCGAUCGGUCUGACCGUGAAUCGGUCUUCUUUCCAAUCUAGGCUUUGUUUGGCAAGCAAAUUUUUUGUCAAGUUUGUUUGCUACAAUUUUUUAACAACUUCAGCUAUAGUAAUCUUAAAAAAUUUCUCAAAAAUUUUAAAUUAUGCAUUUCAAAAUAUUCAAAAAUUCACACACUUCAAAAAAAAUUUCUAUAGUAAAUUACAUUAAAAUUUUAGACAAACAUCCAAAAAACUCACUUGCCAAACGGGGCCCUAGUUUGUAAUAUAAAAUUACUUUGGUCAAAAAUCAUCCAAAAUCGGCUAAACUAAUGACCUGAUUCGACUGGUUGAUCCGGUUCUUAAACUUUUUUUCUUCUUUUUUCCAAACAUAAUCUGAGUUAUCUAAAUUAUAACACUUUCAUUUAUUAAUCGGAAUAAGAAAACAUCACCCAUUUAGUGUAAAUAUCAAAAAUCACUCGUUUUCCUAAAUGAUCUCUAAAUUAAGAUAUUUUCAUUCCUAUGAUCUCAUUAAUUUAGCAUCAAUUAUUCGAACUUGUAUUAAUUUGUUUUAAUUUAAUUUUUCAAGUAAUUUUGGAGAAUGUACAUAUUUUAACUAUGAAUUUACACUUUUAUAUAUAAUUAAUAGGUAUAUAUUUGAUUACAAGUCUAAUAAUUUUUGGAUCAUUUUUCAUGAUUGGCCAAAUAUAACAGAGAACUUAAUUUUAAUAUUUCUAAAACUUAUAAAAAUAUAAAAUGAUUAUAAUAUCAUCCUGACAUCAUCGGACUUUUGAGAACGGUUCGACCAAUCUGACCAGUUGACCCCCUGACCCAAGAGUUUAGCCGACUCACUUUUCGGUUUGAGUUUAAUAACAUUGGUUAUUCUUCACAUUAAGGAUGUUACUCUUCUAAGUUUACCUUUAAAAAAAAAACAAGAAGGAUAGAAACUCACGACGUGCUUGUGUCUGCAUGAUAGAUGUGUCAUAUAUAAAAACUCCUUAAAUCAAGGUGGUGGGAUGUCAUUUAAAAUUUUAAAUUUAAAUCACGAAGUGUUGUAGUAUAAAGUCGUUUAGUGUGAAAUUUUCCUUCUUUUUCUGUUUAGUUUUUCAUUUUCAAAAAAAGAUUUUUUUAAAAGCAAUAUUUUUUUUGGAAGGAUUUUAAAGCAAUUGGUUAUUGCUUCAUGCUUCUAGACAGGUCUAAGUACACAGAAAAAGCUAAAGAAAAAAGUCAGACAACUUAUAACAUGAUCAAAUUAGGCCGAAAACUUGUUGCCUUGAUGUUCUUGUGUCUGCGAAAGACCGCUGCAUUUUUUCAGGCCGCACUAUUCGUCUUCUUCCUUGUAGGCUUGUACGACAAAUUGCUACUAUAUGGAUCAGACAAUAGAUCGGUGAAAGACGUCCUCCCGUGAAUAGAUCGUUGUGCAACAAACAAGGAAAAGAAAACUAUGUAUACUCGCAUACAUAUCCUGAAAUGAUGAUGCAACUUAAAACCCUAGAUCCGCCACCACCACCAUGGCCACCGGGAUUUACCGUCUUCCCCAACCUCAAAUCCCCGCAUAGGACCCUACGUUUCCACCAAUUUCUGGUCCUCUUCCUCACCUUCACUGCCUACUCUUCCUUCCAUGCCUCCCGUAAACCUCCAAGUAUUGUCAAAUCCAUACUUGGCCCCGAAGUCCAAACUGCAAACACCACGAUCCACGUCGUGGCUUCGGUGUUUAACUCCGACCCAUUUCAAUCCAGCCAAAACCCAGGUAAAAAUGCCACUGGGUGGGCUCCGUUUAAUGGCCGACGUGGACCCCACCGUCUGGGGGAGCUGGAUCUUUCAUUCCUAUUGGCCUAUUCUGUUGGGAUGUAUUUCGCUGGCCACAUUGGUGAUAGCUUUGAUUUGAGGCUGUUCUUGACUAUAGGAAUGCUGGGCAGUGGCUGUUUAGUGAUAUUUUUCGGGUUAGGCUACUUUCUUGACGUGCAUUCUUUCGCAUUUUUCGUGAUUGUUCAGAUUUUGUGUGGAUUGUUUCAGUCCAUUGGUUGGCCUUGUGUGGUUGCAGUGGUAGGCAAUUGGUUUGAGAAGUCCAAAAGAGGGUUGAUCAUGGGGAUAUGGAAUUCUCAGGCCUCGGUUGGUAACAUUAUUGGUUCAGUAGUAGCUUCUUCAGUGCUGGGAUUUGGGUGGGGUUGGUGUUUCGUCUUACCUGGGACUUUGAUUAUAAUUGUGGCAGUUCUGGUGUAUUUGUUUCUUGUUGUCAGUCCUGAAAAUGUUGGAUUUGAGUUUCCGGAAAUGGAGAUUGAGAUGAGUGUGGAGGCAGUUGCGUUGGUGGAUUCAGAAAAAGUUGAAUCAGGAGAAGAGGGAUUUGUUGGUUCUGUGGAUGAGGGUGUUUCAGUUGCAAUUGGAUUCCUGGAAGCUUGGAGGUUGCCGGGAGUGGCCCCUUAUGCUUUCUCCCUGUUCUUCUCCAAGCUUGUUGCUUAUACCUUUCUUUAUUGGUUGCCUUUUUACCUAAGGCACACAGGUAAUUGUCUAAUCCUCAUUUUUUCAAUUUGUGAUGCAAAUUUUGAUUUUUGAACGUAACCCAAAGGGGAAGAAAGAGUGUCUUUUUAUUUGUAUGUCUAGCUUAUGGUUUUAUCCAGAGCUGAGAGUACUAGAGCUUUAAAUGAUUUUCGGUUCAAAUGACUAUCAAAUGAGAUCGCAGAUUAUGUUACUUGUUACAUUGCCAUUUAUAGCUGCUUAAGUUUUAUAUGCUACACAAAGAGAAAUGCAUUGCGUAGUGUCUGAAUCUUAUAGAAAUUAGAUUCCAUAUUUAUUGUGUGGGAAAGAGAACUUUCAGACAAUUUAUAAAGUAGAAAAUCCUAAUCGUUCGAGUUAAAUAUGCAUUAUGUUAACCUUUUUUUUUUCAAUAUUGGAAUUUGUGUUCCUGGAGCUGAUGUUGUUCAGUUCAUCUACUUGUCUGAUCAAACUGUUUGAUAUUCACAACGAUGUGUUUGGUCUUGUUUUGAAGCCAUUGGCGGGGUGCACGUGUCUCACAGAACUGCUGGCAUCCUUUCAACGAUUUUUGAUAUUGGAGGUGUUGCUGGUGGCAUUCUGGCAGGAUUCAUAUCUGACCUAAUUGAAGCUCAAGCUGUUAGCUCUCUUCUAUUCUUCUUGUUAUCGAUUCCAGCCCUUGUUUUGUAUCGCAUUUAUGGAAGUGUGUCUAUGGUAUGGAAUAUUGCAUUAAUGUUUGUUUCUGGGUUGCUGGUCAAUGGGCCGUACUCGCUAAUUACCACAGCUGUUGCCACUGAUCUUGGUACCCAGAGUGUGAUUAAAGGUAACUCUCGUGCCUUAGCCACGGUUUCUGCAAUCAUAGAUGGUACUGGUUCUGUUGGGGCAGCAAUUGGGCCCCUUCUGGCUGGUUACAUAUCAACUGGAGGAUGGAACAGCGUGUUUUUUAUGCUCAUUGUUUCAAUAUUCUUGGCAAGCUUGUUAUUGAUUCAUCUUGUAAAGAAUGAGAUUAAAGGAAAGCUGAAUGAGGGAAAAUGGCUUUGGUUCCAUGUGAUUACUCAUUAACUAUAAACUCUAGUCUACAGUAUUAUACACAUUUAUCGUCUAUUAUGUGAGAGACAGGAUUGUUUAUUGCCAUUGAGACUACGGUUACUCCAGUGAUAGUUCGUGUAUCUUACCAGAGAAAGGAUUCCUACAUUGUAUACUAGUAUGCAGGAUAAAUCACAUGAUUCUUGUACUAUGAUUUUGCAUUCUUGAGCUACCAUUUGGUCGGUUCCUUUGUAUCAUAUUGUAGUAUUGGCGGAAGAGUAGAGAAAUCUAUGAGAUGAAAUUUUGUUACCUUUUUUAGAGAAAUGUUGUACUUUGUAAUUCGUACCCCAUUUUUUAGAAGAAUGCACAUGGUUGACUUCUUUUGUUACCAUGUUGGUUCUUUAAUUCUGAUUUUGCUUCGAAGAUAAACGGAACUACUCUUGCCUCGCUAUAAGGCAAUUGUUUGUUUCACAAAAGCUAAUCUUUCCAACUUAUCAUUGAUAAGAAAAAAGACUGAAAAUGAUGAGAUUGGAAACCAAAAAGUGGAUCAAGGGAAGAAGCGGCUCUUGGCUUUUCUUGGGUAAGAUGGCUAAUGCCUGUUUUCAAUCCAUCCGUUGCUAGUUUAGAUUUUGUCGCUGGUUGUAGCCCUAUAGGUGUAUCGAGAAAUGGAAAUAAGAGGAUUGCAAUUGUAAUUCUUCAGACUGUCAGUAUCUGUGUAUAUAUGAUAGGAAACAGGAUGAAAUUCCUGAGUGAUUAGUGCUCAGACUCUCAACAUGUAACAUUGGUCCAUCAAAAAGAAUAAUUGAAGAAAAUCCCCCCCAGUGUCCCAAAAUUCAGUGCAACUAGCCACGAAGCUGGUCGGCGCAUCGUGACAUGCAGUGUGUUCCAAAGCGUUUAGAGCCUCGUCUCAGCUUCUUUAAUCCGGCUCCAAUUUCGUCGGAUCAGGGUUCUCUGCUGUCACUGGUUUACUUUUCAUGGUGAAAAUGAGGUAUUUUUGAAUUGGAUGGGAGGUUAAAUGUUGAGUACCAAUUUCAAUGUAUGAAAAAAAAAAUUAUUAUAUUUUUUCAUUUUAUUGUGCUAAUAUCUACAUUUAUUAUAUUAAUAUCUACAUUUCUUGAGUUGGCGUCUCUACUAUAGUUAGUGUCUGCACUGCACCCCACCAUUACUACUGGUGACCACAAAAAACCUGAUCCACUUGUGUGCUCAUGAUUGAAGCAGGUGGUCUAACUUGUGCGCUCAUGAUUGAAGCAGGUGGUCUAACUUGUGCGCUUAUGAUUGAAGCAGAAGCAGAAGGUCUACUAAUAACGUCAAAUUUGGAGUUUCGAAGGCACCAUAUGGUAAUGUACAGUUUUAUGAUAAAAUACCAUAUGGUAAUGUUGUUCAUUCAAUGCACAGGACAAGAAGAAAUCCAAGGCACGCGUAGGAAAUUGACAUGAUUAGAGGACAGUAAAGUUGAAGAAUCGUUGGACUCGUGUACAUCUCAAUGGUUGUCUCAUCUACACGAGAGAAGUCAUCUCCCCAUAAUGUCAUUCACUCUUUUCCUAGAACUUUACCGAUACUAAAGUACCUAUCUAGUAAAAAUGUAUUUACAGAUGCAAUUAUUUUAUCAUCAUCAUCAUCAUCAUCAUCAGCAACAGCACCGUAAUAUAUUGGGUAUGAUGGACCUCUAAUCAAUCAGACGGUUAGAAGCUAGUGGCUCUACCCUUCUAGCAGAAUUUUAAGAUUCUGAAUCCCCUCCGCCGAAAUGCUCCGCCUGAAUCUAGUCCUUUGCACUGUUAUUGAAGGUGGGGGCUCCAAGUGAAAGCAAACAAUUACUACUGUCAAGUUGUCUAUGGCCCCCCUUUUUUUUGCUUCAUUCACCAUUUCCAUGCAGCACUGUUUCACAUUAUUAUGUUCUUGCAAUCUCCUCCUCACAAAAUCUACUGCAUUCUGGCUUCUAAAAUCAUCCCAUAUACCAUCACUACCGAUUAUCAGGAACUCAUCUUCUUUAGUCAGUGUCAACAACUUGAGUUCUGGUUCUGCAGUCAAUGGACCACCCUUGUCACCUUCCUUCAGACCUUUGUGCCAAUCACCCAAUGCUCGAGUUACACCUAAUGACCCAUUCAAAUAAUCAUCAACAAUAUACCCCCCCAAAGACUCGAUUCGCAUCCUUUCAUUCAUGCAACAAGGUCUAUGAUCCUUUGACAUCUCUAUAGCCACUCCACGACGAGAAAGAACAGCUCUACAAUCUCCAGCAUUCGCUACUAAUAAUGAUCUGCAGAAAACCCCCACAAUGCAAACAAUGAAAGCGUGAUUUUACUAGCAUAAUUUUCAGCAUGAAAGACGAAUUUAACCGGAAAAUAGGUGGUCAGAUCAGUCUAGUUUGUGCAAAAGCUUUAUUCAUAUUGAUAUAAUACUUCUACUUUAGUCCUACAGCCCUACCCUAUUUUUGAAUAUCAGCCAUGUGAGCAUCAUUAUCCAAUUACGACCACAUGAAGAAGGAAGUACAAUGUACUUGAUUUUAUGCUAUCAAAUAUGUUAUCAUGUGAAAGCCUGGAUGGAUAACCAUCUUUGAAGCCGAUCAUGGUGAGAUACCAUGUUAUGUGGUGGCAAAAACUGAAGUUAAGCCAUUUACUUGAACCCAAUAGCACAUGAAACCCACUCAGCAGGUUCAAGAUUAAGCAGUAAGAGAGGACUCUGAGUUACUUGUUAAUGCUAUUAAAUGUUUAGACAAUUAGUCAUUAAGUAUAUCAACUCACCUCCCAAAUAUCAUUGCAGUGAGUGCAGUUGUGCCAGAGGACAGGGAAGGCUUAAGAAAGCAUGAAUUUGCAAAUGCAGCAUCUGUUUUCAAGAAAGACCUUGUAACCACUUUCUCAAGUUCUAAAGGAAAAUCUGCAUCUUCCACAAUAACCCUUGGUAACUGGUCACGUACAAAUUGUGCUGCAUCCUUCCCAUCGUGUCCAUCAAAUACCUGUCUUUAGUGCAACUGCAUCAGGUAUCUCAAGUUAAAAAGAAAAGGCAGGAGCAUCCACAAAGAGUAGACAAUGGACAAGUGGACAAGAGGGAGACAUGAUGACUACUAAUUGAGCUCUACAAAACAACCAGACAAACUAAAUAGGAUGUUAAUAUGAUGGGGGUACUUAGAUGACACACAGCCAUUCAGCACCACAUAGACCACAACAAAAUAAAUCUUUGGCUAACUCAUCUACUUGUACUCUAAACACAAAAGCCCAUACACCUAUAGAUAACUAUAGUAUAUAGAAAGAUAAGUAUGUUCUAGAAGCUAUAAUUUCACUUGACUAGAAGAUAAGUACGUACAUAAGAGGGAGGAAAUUUUGGGGCAGGAGGGAUUAGAGGCCCUUGUCAUGAGCCAAGCAAAGCCCUCAAGGGCUUACCAGUGUCCAGUACACUAUAUAUAUUUCAACAUUUACAUAAAUAAGGUAAACUAAAGAGUAGGGACCAGCCCAGCAGUUUCUUAACGUAAGCAUUCUAAUUUUUCAUACGAUGCUCCCAACAUUUCAAUUCAGUAUCAUUCGACUGUUUCCCUCAAUCCUAAAACACAUUCACUUUCAGAAGAUGGAAAGUUUGCACUUGACUAAUAUAAAGCUCAUUUUAACUUUUAACCCCACAAAUCAAUCAUCUAAAACUUGAAAACAUUUUAAAAAGUAGGAUUGUACCAAACUACUCCAGCAAUUGUGUACAUUCAAUCUAAAAUGGCUACACUAGACACAUGGUAUUGCUUUUCCAACCAAUGAAUGUUUAAAACUACAAUGGCAGACGUGACCUACAAUUGAAAAUCUAUAUUUUAAACCAAAGCUAAAGCUCAAAUUCCAGUCAACUGCCUCAUUUUUUCUACAAGUGAUGUUGCAAGCAGACAUUAAUUCAUUGAGGUCAAAGAACUUACACCAUACAAGGAGAUAGCUUCCUCACCAAUUUUCUGGCAUCCAAAUUUCUUAGCUAGGUCCUCAAUGCAGAUGUGAGUGUCCUCCAUAUCAGGACGACGUCCAAUGUCAGAGAACUCUCCUGACCGAAGAGCAGGAAAAAAGUUAUUCAUGGAGAUCUGUUUUCUUUCUGUAAAAGCGGUAUCCUCACCAAUGCUUUCCAGCUGACACAAAAGAGAGAAACGCAUGAGAGGGAAUACAUAGGAUGUUUGAAGUUUCAAAGAGGACACUAAUUUAUUCUCCAGUUACAGCAAUGAACACGGCCCUAAACAAGCUUAUGUUCGUUCUUGUUCAUCUGGGAAAAUGAAAAUUCUUUACAUACCUUAACAUAAGGGACCUUUUUCUGAAAUUCUGCUGCUUCAGUUAUCCAGAACAAUAAAUCUAAUUGGUUAGUUCAUCAUUUCUCUAAAUCAUAAAGUCAAGAACUUUGGGCGAUUAAGAAUAUCAGGGUAUCUUCCUAAAGGGGUUAAAAAAGAAAAAUCCUUGUGAUCUUAAAUCCAGUAGCCUUAAAAAAGCUAAAUUUCAGUCUAGUAAAAAUUAGCCUUCCCUAUCCUAUUCACCAUACAAAAAAACAGUUACCGACGAGAAAUAUACAAGUCCUCGUAUCAUCCUCAUGAUUUAUAAUAGCUCAGAUACUAGAAAGGAAUAUAAAAACAAAUUCUAUACUCACCAAAAGUCUAGACCUCUCAUAUCAAGCAAUAACCACAAAAGAGAGAGAGGGAGAGAGAGAGAGAGAGAGAGUAAUAAAGCCGCAGACUAAAAUUCAAUUGAAGAAAUCGUACAACCCAGAAAUGGACUUAAAGAUAAAAUUCAGUACGCAUACAAACAAUACUAACAGAAAAUGAAACAAAAGAAUGCGAAAUAUGAGACGUCGAUUUGAAAACAAAUCCCAUUUCUUAAUUCUUACUGGAAAGGAAUUCCUCAGCGGAACAUGAUCCAAAAUUGUGCCUUUCUCCCAAUUGUCAAUCUGGGGUGAGGUAUCAUCUUCACUGGGAGAAAAUACCAAAGGAGAAUGCAAAGGCCAAGCCUUGGAAUUUUCCUGAUUCUCGGAACAGUUCUCCAUUCCGUCCCUAACUUGCUCUGAAUCUUGAACACACAUGUUAAUAGUAUUGGAAGUUAAUUAUUCUAGUUGUAGUGAGAAAUGCACUUUGUGCCGAAAUAGAAUGGUAAGCUGUAGACUACUUGCUGCACUGUCUUGUGAAUGCAAGUUGUUGGUUGGGCUAGGAAGGAUUGGGUUCUUGAGAAGAAGAGAUGAAAAGGGUACAGAGAUAUGUGAGAAUAUAUCUGAAAAUUGAUAGACUAUGGGACUCAAGAGAAGAUUCCCAGAAUAUGUUUUUGUUGAGGAUUAAUUCUUUAAAAAAAAAAAAAAAGAGGCUAAUUAAAAGAACAAAGGCUCCUCUCCCCUGUAGCCUGUACGUGAGCAGGUGUUUACCGAGGGCUGGGAUGCUGAUAUUUUUCCAUGUUGUCGGUCCUACGCUUUCUCUCGCUCAUUGCUUUCUCUUUCGGCAAACUGCCUUCAUUUUUUUCGUCCCCCUUCUAUUUUCCCUCUUCGUAGGGAAUGCAUCUCUGAAUUUAUUUUUAUCUUUAUGAGUUCUAGUCAUCAAACACAACAAAGUUGAGGCGUUACAAAUUAGAAAUGGAAGAUUCAAAUUCUCUGUCUCGUCUCUACUUCUUAAAUCUUACUUCUUUCUUAUUUAAAAAAAAAUUAAAACGUAAAGAUUGUCAUCCUCAUGCGUCAUUUAAGUGUCUAUUUUUUGUUUAAAAAAUUUAAGACAUACAUUCCUUGGAUAAUUUUUUUAAAGGAAAUAGUAGUUUGAUCAUAUUUAAGAACUACCCCAAAUGUAGAUUACAACUUGAAAAGGUAAGUACUCACGUUGUCCUUGUACUUUAAAAGGACUUUUAGACAAUAGGUUUUAAUGAUUUAUGAUGUUUACGUUCAUGAAUUGUGACUUCAAGUAACAAUCCCAAGACUGGAAAGAAAUAUUUAGACCCUCAUUUUUGCCUUCGCUGCUGGGAUUUUGGUGUUUUCGUUCGUCAUAUAAUAAUUUAACUAGUAAGAAAAAAAGGGCAAGUAAAAGCCUAUCUUUUUAUAUUAACGGAAAAAUCUGCACAAGAACUUGGGUCUUCACGGUCACAUACUUUAGGACGUAUAGGUUCAGUUUUAACCAUAGUAAACUUUGAUCCAAUGCUCAAGUCGGCGGUUCAAGCCUACUAGUUUAGCAAACAUCAAAAGGAAGUUUUGUGCUUCCUUGUUCUUAAAAAAGUUCAGAAGUGCAUUAGUGUGCUUGUCUUGGUCAGUGAUUCACCCCACAAUUUAGUGCAAGUUACCGUAAAAGUAAGAUAGAUUAUUGUCGUUACCCAAAAAAAAAAAGAAAAAGAAAGUAUAGGUUUAGUUUAGUUUUUGAUUUUUUAAACAAUUGUCGGGUGAAAUGCAUAAAAACCAAAAAAUGAAAUUCAAUAAUUCAUUACCUUUUACAUUUCAAAACUACAAGGUACAUUUUUUCCCGGCGAAAUUUUCUUUUCCACCAUUUGCUCAUCUCUGCCGUUUCCUGGUGGUGGUUGAUGACUUGGAGGGGGUUAGUUGUUGUUGAGCUUUCUACUUUCUAGUUCUCAGGGUUGCGUGUUUUUUUUUUUUUUUGUAAUUGAUUAAAAAUUGUGUCAGGCGAGUGGUUUCCACACUUGCUUCGAACUUCAUAGUUGACCGCUAGUAUUAUAUUAAUGCUUAUAAAAUGAAUUCAUCAGUUCCUAAUCAAUUUGCACUAAAAUUUUUCUUGCCUCAUGUUCCAUUGCUCAAGCCUUUUUUUUUUCCCCAAAUUUCUUUUGAAGCUUACCAGGAAUGAAGAUUUAACUGUAUUCUACUUUGUUUUUUUAUAAUAAAAAAUAAAAAAUGUGAGUUUGGGAAAAUAAAAGUACUGCUGUUUUUCACUCAAGAAAAUCUUUUUUUCCCAUUUUUUUCUUGAUUUCAAAAAAACACAAAAUUAAUAAUGUUUGCCCUUUUUGGACUAAAUCAACCGAUGGAGGGUGUCUUUAAAGCCGUUUGAACUUUGGAAAGCUUAAAAAAAAAAAAGGAAAAGGGAAAGCGAUAGACGUUGGAUGGUAAGGAUAACAUUAAGUAUCAUAUUUUAUUCACAAUCAUGUUUCCACGAAAAUUGAAAGUGAGGGUUCCUCUUUUUCCUCUUUAAUUUACUUAAAAUUGCUUGGCGUAGGUGUGAAGUGUGAACUGGAAGAUACUUUUGUUUGUAUGCAUUGCGUAUGUGCCGUAGUAAGAUGCUGACUUUAUGCUUCUCCUUUUGGGCUUUGUUGGAAAGAAAAGGAAAGAAAGUGGGGCGCCAUGGCAGCCAAUAUCUACAAUUAGUGAACUGGGGGCCCAAAAAAAAAAAAUCUCCGAUCAUGUCCACUGGUCCAACAUUUUGUUACGAAAUCCAACGGCGACCAAUAGUCGCUGCUCGCAAGGCACAAACCCAGCCACCUAAGUCACAAGUGAUGGUGUCUUUUCUUAAUCUUGUCUUUUUGUAGGCCUACCCAGGAGGAUCCUAGACAGCCAUUCAAAUUUAACAAUUUGCCAGAAUAUUUAGACUUCAAACCUUGUAAGUUGAUCUCUAUAUAUUAGAGACGUGAAGACUGUGAAAUCCUUUUUUUUUUAAUUUUAAUAAUACAGAGAGUAUCCCAAUAUUACCAGAUUAAUCUCCUUGCAUCUUUACAUCCCGUCCCUCAAGAAUACACAAGCGAUAGAGAUAUAACUUGAACACACGAAUUCAAGACCUAACUAGGCAAUCCCGAGAGGUGAAGGCCUUUGGUCUCCUUCUUUUUUAACUGUUCCGUUCAGAUGAAGCAAAAAAUUGAGUAAGGGAAGAAAAAGCAACACACGUCGUGGACGUUGUGGUAAAAACUCUUCUGCUUUAUUCUUUUCUUCUUCCUCUUCCAUUGCCAAAAGAAUAAAAAACUGCCAUACAUAUCUCCAGCAAGAAAGCGGAUAAGAAUAAAUUGGCGCCUCAUUUUACCUUUCUACGCUUUACUCGGAAAAAUUUAACGGUGAAUUCAAAAUUAUAUCCUACUCCCUCAAGCUCGUAGCAUAAGAUCAAGUUUGGAGCUGUGGAGGCUUUGAGAUUAAUGACUAAAAUUGAGAACUCAAAAAUUAAAGACUGUAAGUUUAAAUCUCUCUCUCUCUCUCUCUUCUUGCUCUUUAAAUCUUACCCUUUUCUUGUUUGACAUAAAAGAUUUUUUUUUUUUAUAAAAAAAAAAUAACCCUCGGAGCUAGGAGUAGAAUCAACAAGAGACACUCUUUGCAUAAGUUUUGCGGAUAGAAAAUUUGGUGGGAAGAAAAGCAUAAUAAUAAUGUUGUCUAACGAAAUUUUAAAUCUGAGGUCUAAAUGCAAGCACGAAUGUCACACGCAAUCAGAAAUGUAUGGCUCCGAAGGACCCAUAAGGUGUUUGCUUGUUUUUGUUUCAUGGACUCCAAUUCCACUUCAUUCUCCUUGUCUCCUUCGACCCCGGAAAACAAAUGCCAAAAAAUAAGACUUACAUCACGAUGUCAAGCCAAUCACCUAAUUGCCCCUCUUGGUUAACGUUGCUUACAUGACAUCAUACAAUAUUUGUAGCCAUAAGAUCUAAUACAUGAGUAACAUCUUCUUUAAACACCUGAUCAAGAGAAUUUUAAAAUUUUACUUGAAUGCAGGUCAAGAGAUCAAAUUCCAUUGCCUACAUUCUAAAAUUCAACUUUCUGAAAAUGUCAUUAGUGAGUGUGUAUGCACCUAUUUGAGUUGGUGAUAAUUCAGUCAUCUCCGAAUUAUCCUUGGACUAACACCUUCUUCUUCUUCUUUUUUAUCUGAAACGGCAUACAUGAGUAACAUCUUCAUGUCAGGCUUUUGGGCUCCAAAAAUCGACCAAUGCAAAAGACGUGUACUAGUAAUGCUAUCUCCUAUUAACAUUUUUCCCAGAAAAAUGAAAAUUGAUUGCAGGUGCAACCGUGGAUCAAGAUCCGCGACCAAUAAAGUCGUGACUGGUGCGGCUUGAUUCAAAGCCCAUCAACUUUAUCGGUGUGACAAAUAUUGUGAACAAAAGGGCCUCUUUGAACGGUGUAGAAUUAACUUUAUCAUAUCUGUAACUAACUCGUCUUAGGUGAGUUAGUUAUCAAGUAAAAGCAUAAGAUGCUUGUCUAAUUAUGGGUUAGGAGAUCAAAUCUCUAUACCUACGUAACUAGGGCUGCAAACGAAUCGAGUCGUUCGCGCUCGAACUCGAGCUCAGAAUAUUAAGCUCGUUAGCUCGCGAGCUGGAGUAUAUAUAGAUAUAUAUUUUUUUAUUUAAUAAUAAAAUUACGUAUAUUAUAUUUUUAUUUUUUAUUUUCAUAGUAAAAUUACGUAUAUAUCCUUAAUAUUUGAUUAUUUAUUAACAAAAAAAAUAUUAUUUUAUUUAUUUUUUUAAAAAUAAAAUAAUUAUUUUUUAUUUUUUUCGAGCUCGAGCUCGAAAAUUGCCUGCUCGUCGAGCUCGAGCUUGGUAAAAUUCAGUCGAGGCUCGGCUCGAUUAGUUCAAAGUUCGACUCGACUCGGCUCGUUUGCAGCCCUAUACGUAACCUACCCUAAAAUCCUGGGGUAAUGCACCUGACCGUUGACACCGAGUUGAUCUUCUUGAACAAUGAAAACUUUCGAAAAAACUAGGCUAGACUUUUCGUUUUGGUGAUGGCUACACCAUUAUAUUUUAAAUUAAAGCGAGCAAGAUAUCGUUUUAUUUUCAUGCACUAUCUCUCAAAGUUAAAGUUUUCUUCACAGGAAUGACAUUAACUUGAAAGUUUGGUUAAAUAUCGUAUUGAUCGUCAAUAUCAAAAUUGAAAUAAGAUCACAGAAUUGUCAUGCGAUUUAUGGGAGGGAGGAAUUGGCCCUCCAUAUAUAAUGGGACGGUCCAUUGCCCUUAGCCUAAUGUUGUCCAAUCAUUUUCGUAUAUUUAUUAAAUGAGCCCUACCAAGUUCUUCAUAGAGAGGCAAGAUUCCAUAUGGAAGAUGACUAUUCGAUUAGCAAUAGAAUAGACUCUUAUCAUCUGUCAAGCCAAGGAUGGUGCUAGAAGAAAUCCUCUGAUUCCCUAAUAAUGGCGCCAAUCUUAUCGUUAUAUCUUCGUGCAGCAUUUUCCCAUUUCAUAAAACAACAAGACUAGAGUCCACACUUGGCCUGACGUACAAAACACAAAAACCAGGAUGGCUCAAUGGCGUUUGGUCAAACAAGAAAGAAAAAAAACAAAAAAGAGAGAAUUUCUUAAUGAGCAUAAGAACCCUCCUGGAUUUGUAACUACUAAAUAAAAAAAAAGGAUAGAUUAGGAUUUGUAACUAAUCUAUUCCUCUAGAUUAGGAUAGAUUAGGUCAUAAAAAUGUUAUCGUUGCCAUAAAAAAAUUUAUAAUUAAUAAAUAAAAAAUAAAAAAUAUGAGAAGAAAGAAGUGGGUGAAAGAGAGUUCAGUCCACACUUGGGUCUUGCACCAAACAAAGCGACCAAAUCGAAUUAAUUCCGUGAAAUUGAUUGAAGUGUUCGAUUUCUCUCUAAACCUCAGCGCUGAUACGAGUACGAAAACUCAAAAAGUUUGUCCCAGGUACAUAAUUAAUUCCUCAGACGAAAGGACUGGCCCAAACUUUUCUGGGUCUUCUUUUCAGCUAGCUAGAUCAAAUCGGCAAAGGUCGCUUAUGCCAAAAUUCAAACAUCCCAAUUUACGAGCCCAUGACCAUAUAUGGACUAAUCAACGCUGUUUGCUUAAACUGUAAAGGUCAGAUUUCUACAUUUUGAGACUUGUACAAGACCCAAGUAAGCUAUGCACAUUAGUCGAAUUCGACAAUUUAAUAAAUAUUCUUCUAAAGUUUAAAUUUUAACUUUUGACAAUACCAAAUUCUACCCUUGAAAUUUUGUCCAGUAUCUAAACUCUUGAUUUCAAUCACGCAUCACCUCACUAACGGCUUCAAACUAGCCUUCCGGGCUUUUUAAAUAUGUUUGAUAAAAUUGAAAUCUGAAAAUUCAAAAUUCGAUGUUUGAAUCCGUUGAGUUACUGAAUUAUUAAUUACUAAAUUCGAUACAUUUGAGUAUAUGUCACAUUAACUGAUAAAUGAAUAUUUUAUCGUUUAUUUUUUUAGAGCAAGUUUUGCUUAAAAAAUUGAGCAUCACUUAAUUAAUACACAUGUUCUAUCUUUUAGAAUUAAACGCGUCCGAACAUUUAAGCGUUGAAUCGAAUUGCGGCCAAACAAGGGCUUAAUCUUGCAUGCACGAUGAACUCCCGGAGAAUAAAGGAUUAGAGGCCUCUUACAAGACGAAGACGCGGGACCGGUAGAAUACCAGGAAAAAAUUGUGGACUGGACGGGCUAAAACAAAUUCCCUUAAGUUGCGGACCACCACAUUCUCCAAUCAAAAAUCUUGGCUAGGUUCAUUACAUCUGUCUAUAUAUCAAUUUGACCCAACGUAAGGCAAUCCGAGCCCACAUGUCAGCCGCGACCACUCCACCCCAAUCCCAUGCAGGUUGUGCAAUCAAAGUCUGUAACAUGGUGGCUGCUGCAGCUGCUGCUCGAUAUCUUUGCUUGGGAUGCCCUAAAGAUCUUGGUCGUAUGCAUGUCUUCCCCAACUCACAUACCUACUUCAUUUAAUGAAUCACAACUUCUUCGCAUUCAUUUCGUAGGCUGCUCUUUCACUUAAAAUUAACCACUACUUGUAUAAUCCGUCUAUAUAUGGUCCCAAAAUUUCGGCAAUACAACAUCACUUUCGGUUUUUUUUUUUCCGAGUUAUGGAAGGAACUUCCCAUCUUAAGCAGUUAAGCUACGGCAAGGCUCCCACCUUGUCCCAAGAUUAUGGCACCACUUUAUCAUCCCAUGCGUCCAUGUAUAGUUCUGUCGGUUAUGAAUUUUAUGUAAAUUUCCUUAGAGAUGAUCAGAAUGCUAGGGUUGAUUUGUGAUUAAUCUAAAGAUGAAUUCAUAAGCAACCAACAACCUUACGGAAAAGAAGAAAAAGUUGCUGCAUAAUUGCGGAACAUUCGUGUUAUUCAGUUACCAGUUUAUUAGUGAUCUCAGGAUCUCAUAAUUAAAAUACUACUAAGUAAUGAUACUUUUUGGUAGUACGGACAGUUCCCUUGAACUCCUUCAGACUUUUGGGUACGUGACAUCACAUACACAGACACAGUUGCGUGCAGCCACCGGAAAACACAACGAGCUUGUCGAAACUGACUGAUAAAAGUUGAGUGCACUUUCCUGUUAUAUAUAAGGAAGAAGGAAAAAAAAAAGAUAAAAAAGAGCCAUGACAGAUGUUAUUUUGAUCCUUCCCCUUUCUUGGGAUAAUUUUAUACUAAGCUACAAAAUGCUGAUUAGCCUCGACGGCUGAUUACCUAGCAAUAAAUUAAUCAGUGAUUAUUAUCUAAGCAAAAUAAUAAAAUGUUAUAUGUACAAAAUCUUCCUAAUCCUAAAAAAUGGCAGCAUUUUCCGCAAUGCUGUCCAACUUCUCUAGUGUCUUUCUUUAGUACUGAAUUCUUCAUGCACUAGUUGUGGAUUGGCGGUUUUCUUUUGGCCGGAGAAUAAUCCAUCCCAGCUAUGUCUAAUAUGUCCGGAUAAUGAUCGAGGGCUGUCUCCGGCGGGUGGUGAGUCAAUGGUGAUGAAUUAACUGAGAAAUUUUCUUCUUUUCCACCUGAUCUGUCACUACUUGAUUGGCCCUCCAGUACCGGCUCAGCUUUCUUAUAAUUUCCUUGGUGAUCAUUCUUGUCAUUCUGUGCAUGAACCAUGGAGUUAUGUAAAGAAGAGAGUGAGUAAAAGAGAGGGGUUUGUUUCUAUGGGUUUUCCCCCCCCUUUUUACGGCGUAAAUUAAGUAGAGUACUAUUUAGCAGAAGUUGAAACCAACCUUCGAGGUGGUGGUGGUGGUAGUGGUGGGGGUCGUGCUAGAAGGAGAGAGAGUUUUUUUCAUAACUUUUCUAUUUGAUCCUGCAAACAGUUGAAGAAAAUAAACCAUUUUCAGAACCAUUUGGGAAAUGAGACCCAAUGUAUAGUAGUGCUAAUUGAUUUGCAAUUUCUCAGAACAGCAUUUCCAUGAUUCAAUAUCUAAGCAACGCUUUAAAGUAUCAAAUCUUAGAUCACUACACGAACAAUAUCCACCAAAACGUUGAACCUCAGCUACUCAAGUUAAACACCCUUCUUUUCUUUUCGAAGUGCUAUACUUGAAGGACAAGGAUAGAAUUAAUUAAUUGUCCAAAAAUUGAAGAUGAAAGAGAAAAUUUAAUCAUACUACUACUACUACUACUACUAAUAGUAGGAAGAGAUUUAGUGAUGCUUAGGGUUGUGAAUCUUUGGUCCAUAGUAAUCCUCGUGGAUGCUUGGUAACCAAUGAUGGGAAUGCUUUGUUACUCUAGAAGAAACUCUUGUGUUCUUGGUACCUAAUUCUGAGCCAUGACUCUCCACGCUAGGGUUCACCUGAUCUUCAACUCCAAUACUACUACUGCUCAAAUCACUUUUGCCUUCCUGCAUGCAUUAAAAGAAUAAUCAAUUAUAAUUUUUUACAGUUUGUACAAAUCUUAGAGAAAAUUAAGGGGAAAACACAAGCUGUGAUAGUUAGGAAAUCAUAAAUCAUGAAAUGUUGUUGCACUUGGAUACUCACAUGGACUUUGUGUUGUUCUGCUAAGGGAGAAUCCUUUAUCAAGCGUGCACCUAUGAAAUGGUCAGAAAUAAUUCAGUAUGAAAAACACUAUUAUAAAAGAAGUGCCGCGCUGAAGGAACAUAUACUGCAUAAACGCAUGUACCUUGAGCUUGAUGAUCAACUAGGAUUGACAGAAGUAGAAGAGAGAUUAUCGAAAACUUCCUCAUUCUGGGCUAGCUUGUCAGAAAAGUGUGCUGCUAAGUGGAGCAGAAGACUGUAAAUGAUUGGCAGAUUUUUGGGAAAUCUUUAAAGGUUGAAGUUAUGGUAGGAAACAGAAUGUGAAUCUUCUUGGCCUCCUGAAAAACCUGAGCUAUGCGUUAAAGCAGGUGAAUUGUCUCGAAACACAAGGAGGGCCAGCGCAGGGGUAUAUAUAUACAGUGAGAAGGGCUAUGGCUCCACUUAUAAUUUAAAGAGCGUGGCAUUGUAUAUUAGGGGAUUUACAUAUAUGCCUUCUGUGUUCAUUUUUUUAAUACUACUUUUCUUCCUCGAAAGAGAUCUUAAACUUUUUGAUAAAGAAAAGGUUGAUUAUGAAAUUUCAAGUCAUGGUUGGAGGGGAACAAAAUGUCCACGCAAAAUAUAGGGGGCACCAUUUUCAUAAAAGCGAGAGAACUUAGGUGACCAUAUCCCAAACAAGAUGCCACUUGCUAGAAACUAAAAGAAAAGAGUUAAAAGUACAAUAUCUUUUGUAUCUUUUUUUGCAUUAUUGCCCGGUACAGCAGGCUUUGGAUGUCUCAUCUGUUGGGUGGUCGUCCUAAAUCUUUGCUCAUUUCGUAAGUGACUACACUUGGUCUCUAUCAAAUAUUUGCCACAAGGCACAAACAUCCCACAUUGUCAAAAAGCUUGAUCUUACUUUUCAUGGAUCCAUGCAAAUUGUAACAGUGUGAAUCCAAGAGGCAUAUCCCACAAUUGUGAAUGAUUGGCCAAUCGCUGACCAUCCCCUGCCCUAUGAAUCUAUUAUGAUAGUUUCUCAUCAUUCAAGGUUCCUUCUUUUCACCUCCUCAACUAGACAAUUACCUUUCCAUUUCUGUGAUUAAUCUUAUCACGUGGCCCCUGAUAUAUACGUAUAGCGUCCAAGUCCAAUGAUCAAAAUCUAUCAGUUGGACAGCACGAACAGUGAAGGAGCUAGACUUGACAACAACCUGAUGGGAGGAUUAAGGAAAGCCGUAAAUUCAAGCCUGGGAUAAGACUAGAAGCAGCCUGUGUUUUUGUUCACGACUGUUGAUGGUAAUUGGCAUUUUGGAAGCACAUGCAAUUUUGUCCCUGAAGUCAAUUCCACUCGAUUAAUAUAUUAGCUUGACUUAGUUCGACCAGUAAAUUCUCCUCGUAUCUUUGUUCAAAAUUUUUGGACUCUCCCGUAAGAAGGUGAAUCCAAGUUCCGCUCGAAUUCAAAGGUGUUAACUAGCUAGUCCAAAACUAAAUCCCCUACCAAAAAGAGGGGGAAGAUGCAUGACAAUAGAAAACCAUCACAAUUGACUUGUGAAAAACAAAAAAAAUUCGUUGUAGUGUUCUAUCAGAUUAAGCAAUCUGUGAAAUUUAAUUUUCGUUAUGUGUAGCUUGGCAUAUGAAAUUAUUCAAACACUAUUUUGUUUCUAAAAUUAAUUCUCUAGACCCAAAAAUUUUCCCAUUUGCUCUCCCAAGUUCUGCAUAAAGUUUCCUAUGUGCGAGCUUUUAACUCAAUAAGAACUUGCUCCUUUAUUGUUGAUUCUACUGUGUUUCUUUCGUUCCUCUUAAGUCUAUUUCUUUACGGAAAUGGGGGCGGCCCCUUAUAAUUAUUGGUGGCGCUUCAAAGAAAGAAAGAAAGAAAAUAAAAUAAAACAAACCGUUAGAGAGCAGGUGUGAAAAAUGAAUGAGGAGGGUCAAAGGACGUGCCACGUCGUCACCAACAUAAGGGGUCAUAGCCCAUGUGUCGAGGAAACAAGAAAGUAAAUGCGACGGCGACGGAGGACAGUCGCCGGUCCCCCGUCGUGUCCAUGCACUACAGUGAAUACGGGUAAAAUUGACAUUAUCAGGCGUGGCCGGUCUUGUCUUUUGUGGGACUCCGAUCACCGUCCAGACUGAGGUGAGCACCAUCCACGUGGACGUCUCCAUCUAGGUCCCACGGGGAGAGUGACGUGGCGCAGAAGUUGGCCACGUGGAUGCCAAUGGCUCAUGCUUUCUGCUUCUUCUUUAGGUGACAGAGAAACAGACCCAAUGGGCGACCUUGUGGGGUGAGUUGAGCUACUUGCGGCCAAUUCUUUUACUAGUCCAAAAAAUAUAUAUAUAUAUAUUUAAAAUUUGAAACUGUGGAUCGGUUUAAUUUCCGGGUCGUCGCAAAAAUGCUUCAUUUCAAGGUCCUUUCUACUUUUCUUUGCAUUAAAACGAUCCUCUUUAAUUUCCAUUUUCAUGGGUUUUUUUUUUUUUGGGGGGGUUGGCUCAUGCAAAUUGCUUAUCAAGAAAUUUUAGCUCAGUAACUUCAAAACCACGAUCAUAUGCUGAAAAGGGAUCCAGAACAAUCGUUCCAAUGCAAAUAGUACUUUGACAAGGUGUAUCCACGGUUACAGCAUUUUUUUCCAGCAUAAAACGUGACAUAAUUCUUGGGAAGACAGAAAUAUAAUCGGUCGACUUAAAAAUGACUAGGGACCAUAUGAAAUUGGUGGAAGGAUCCAUAUCAUAAACAUUAAUUAAGGUCGUUAACCGGAAUAGCCGACAAAGAAACAUUUCGUGCAUGUUCAAAGAAAACCCAAGAAACAUUUCGUGUUUUCUAGGAACUGGUUAGAAAAUAAUGGACCCCCAGCCGUCUAAUACUGGACUGCUACUAACAAAAUUCUUCUCCUCUACUGAGGUAAAAUCUUGAAGUUUAAGGUGGACUUGUUGCUGUUUCUUCUAUACAAAGCUUAGCGUUUUGCUACGGAGGCCACUUGCCAGGUGCUGCAGACUUGUAACUGACGAGACGAUGUGGAGCAGGUGUCUACAUCUCUCCAAAUAGUGGAAGGCAGCGGCUUGAUAUUCUGACAACAAAUCCAACUUGAUUUGAAUGGUCAGUGAGGCUUGUCGGAAGAAACUUGUCAUGCACCAUUAAUGGCUGAAUUAGGCAGAGAAUAACAGAAGGGCAUUUGCUUUCUUUUUUUACCAGAUAGAUGUGGCAUUUAAUGCCAAAUAGUAGUAUGUCGGAUUUGAGAAGUUGCCCAAAGAGUUCAAACAAUUUAAUUGUUUCUUUCUUUUCCUCAAUUUAUUGAAGUUUCUUAUCAUACCCUUUGACGGAAGGAAAUUUCCAUCCUGCGAGUCAUAAAUGAAUACCUCCAUCAUCUCCGCCAAACAUUAUGGUUUACUUAUAUUUUGGAAAAGAUGCUAUCCAAAUUGAAAAGAGAACGACGGGGAAAAUACGUGCCUUCCAAAAUUACACAUAAUCAUUAAGAAAACGUUUUGAAGUCUGGAAUGCAGAGCUCUCAGAUCCAGAAAGAAGGAAAACAGCUGCUUCCAUUAGGCGUGCUUUCAAAUUCUAGCCCUUUCCAACAAGUGCGACGCGUUUGAGAUUGAUGGCAUGCCAGUGCUGAUAUCCGAUUCCUUGUUCCUCUCUGUCUUCACCUUCAAACUCAAUCUAUUUGAUUAACAUCCUGAAAUGAUCGCAUGCCAAUGCUGAAUUAUGAUCAUAUGAUACUGAUCUUUGUAAUGCUAGCAUACUAGCUGCAUUAGAAACUUGAUCAUCUCACCGCGUGGUAUUGCUGAGCUUGUACUCACUUCUUCAAACGGCUUAUUGCAGCUGACAAGAUGCAUCAUUCAAUCUUUGGAUGGUCAGAGAGUAAAUUACGAAGAAAGGAGAAAGCUACAAUUAGUUAGAGUCACUGAAUCAGCCAUCAAGAAUUUUUCGCUCCUGUAUUGCUAUGUAACAAUUUAGCUUCAGGCUGAUGAUGGAGAUAGCCAGGCACUUACCUGACCAACUCCGCGAAACACGGCAUUAUUCCUUCCUCUUUCCUGGCUGAUAAAACGUAUAGAAUGAUGGGGAGAACCAACGGCGUAAUUACUCAUUUCUGCCUGGAAAGAUGUCCAGUUUUGAUUAUGAAUAUGUUGUAUUCAAAAGCAGGUACCAGAUACUGUAACCCCAGUAGUCCAGCGUAUUUGAUUUUCAAUAACAGAAUGUAACCAGAGUUUUUUUUUUUUUUUUUUAGGAAAAAGUCUUUUCUCAAUUAUGUAUAAAGAGACAAGAUAAAAAACCAGUAUUAAAAAAGAAAAAAAGUUGUAGAAACGCAGCUAUGGGAAGAUGAAUACAAUGGGAAAGAUAAAGAGGAAUUUGCAGCAUGUGCUUUUGCGGAAGCUAACAGAGUCCCUCACUGACGAAACCCUGAAUGCGUUGCACUGGGGAAACUGUAUCCCUUCUACAAGGAAGAUGCUCUUAACUGGGAUUAUGUUGAUGAUCUUGACGUUACUUCAAUUGAACUACUUUAUAUGUUGACGAAUUCAUGAUCCAUAAAGUGGAUUUUUUUUUAUAGAGGUAGCAAAUGUGUUUUAACUAUCUAUCCUGUCGUUUGUGGUCAAUAUGGGCUGUUGUCUUCUAACUCUAUGAAGGGGGAGUUGAUUGUUCAUCAAUCAAGUCAAAUAGCUCCUCCCCGAUUCCAAAUCCAAGCAUUCUGGCCAUGUCCUUCGUCUUCAAUCUAGGCAUCGGGAUGUCAUUUUCCUUUAACCAAGAAUACACAAUGAAAACCUUUUUCAUGACGAACAAUGCUAGUGCCUCUGGGUUGAAAACUACUCCCUUCUUCAUACUCAUCUGUCAAGCGAGAAGGCUCUGAUGUUAGACACGAGUAUAUGUAUGAUGUAUCCUCUCAUUCUCAAUUAUAUGAAUGAAGAAAAGGGUACAGAAGGUAGUACCUGGUGAGGAACCAACAUAGCUGCAUAACGGGCAAGCUCACCUGCUCGCCAGUCCAAUAGAACAGGGAGCCAUGGAUAAGCAGCGUCAAGUCUGACAAACCAGAGCCUAAUAUCAGGGAAUUCUGAUAGUUCUCGAGGGUCGUUUUGAUCUUCUCUUGUGUAAUUAAUGGUGAAGCCAAUUGUACGUUCAAGGAACUCCUUUGGCUUAGCUACAAAAACAAUUGUCAGACCAAAGUAAUCUAUUUCUACCUGGUUAUUUUCCACAAGACGAAUUAAUUCAUUCUGCAACUGUAUUUAGAUGAUUCUUACCAUCGGAAGGUGAAGUAAUCCCCGUUGCACUUUGGAAGGGAACCAAAUCGAGUCGUCGUAUGAUGUCAUUGUCGAUCACUACCUCAUAUCUCCCUUCUGUUGGUGGAAUUGGUGGCGGCAAGUCUGCUUGUUCUGUCAAUGAACAUUGAUUGAAGCUCUGAGCUAUUUGAGUUAUCAAUACAAUCAAAUUCCAGGCACAAUUGGCUAUGCUAAAAGAUGCCAUGAAACAUUUAAUUUCAGUGCAGUGUACUAUUUCAUUGCCCAUAUUAACAAUCUCCGUUGCAUCCUCUACAGUGGCCUCUAAUUGCUGUAAAUGAAGGUAGUAAAUAUUAUCUCUAAUUGUGCUUAAAUAAACACUGCAAGAUUGUUCUGUUUCUUUUCCUCGUCUCUAUCUUUCACUGGUUGAGUAGUUAUCAAUAACUCUGCUUAAUUGUUCUUAAUGAUUCCAGAUGGUGAAAUUAUGGGAGUAUAAGUUUCACACAGUUGUCAGUCAACACUCGAAGAAGCGCAAGGGCAAAGAUAGAAAUGGCUGAAAAGAAAGCAUGGGGCAUGUAUGACUAAAUUAGCACAAUUGCAAAAGCUAACAAUCAACAGAUUGAAGGUAAGGAAUGUUGAAAUCAAGAAAGAAAGCAGCUAAGCAAUACCUUGUUCGUCAUCAUCAUGUAAAGAAAGGUCGUACUUUCCUGACGGAUUGAAUGCAACAGAUAUAGAAGAUGGUCCCUGAGGCCGGCUUUGGUAAAAGUAAGCCGUAGGAUAGAUAGAAGAAGAUGAAGAAGAUGAAGGCAUGCAAUCCAAUUGCUGUCUAUAGGAAAUUGACGGAGCAAAAGUGGGAAUGGGCUGUUUGAAUGCAGAAAGAGGUCUGAUGGAAGCCAUGGCUGUGUGUCUCUGCUAUCUAAGGAAAAUAGAAUGUGCGUCGCUCGUGGAUAACUCAGAGCAGCAUUCUACUGGGGACAUUUGCACUUUUUUGUCUGUUUCUGUUUCAGUCUACCCCCAUCUCCCUUCUUUUCCCUAUCCAUCUCCAUUUUAUUGUGGCCUUGUGUUUGCAAACCACUUUUGUUAUCCACUUUUAGCUUUAGCAUAAUGAGCCUCCCAUCUGAAUUUUUCCCACUACGUGGACUCGUAAAUUUCUUACAUGGGCUGCUUCUUCCACUUUUGUGGGCCUCGUCGUCCUUUAUCAUCAUUUGGGAGACAAUUUCGUAUUUGGGCCACCAAAUUGCGUCGGUUAAACUUUCGACGAUGUAAUCGAACGUUAGACCCGAUAUUGGAUAAACCAGCCAACGCAAUUUCAUAGGAGUAAUUAGAGAUUCGAGGAAAGUUACAGAAGCACGGUUUUGGGAAUCCGAUUCUGCAACGAGCAUUUCCCUCGUGAAGGAAGGGGACAAAGGGAAGCCCGCGCUUCAAUCUCAUCGAUCGAUCCAUCGCAUGUACAGCUUAAUCUAGAUUGGCAUUGCAAAGUUCAAGAUACUUUGGCGCCAAGGCCAUUUUUGUGCUGCUCAUUUAGCAGAGGGCGACUUCAUCUCCUUUCAUGAACCACCUAAUCCUUUUAGGAAGCUGCUUUCUAAUGACAUUUUUGGGGUAACAACCGCUCGUUUUGUAUCUACAGAUGGUUGUUAGGGCUAAUUUAGCCAUCUCUGGGACCAAAAAAUCAUUAUCAUUACUAUAUAAAAAGUAUGAUGAGUUUUAACAAUAAGGAGUGUAAGAGUGUAUGGAGAGUAUUAACGGGUUAUGCUUAAAAAUUGUGUGUUUAUAAUUAUCUUUUAUUUUAAAAUAACUUUAAACAACAAUUAAUCUUAACUAAUCUUAUCUUAAUGAUAGCUGCUUUCUAUUAAAUUAUUACAAUGAUUAUAUUAUAUAUUUAAAAAUCAUCUUUAAUUUUAAAAUAGCUUUAAAAAAUAACCAAUCUUAUCUUAAUGAUAUCUGUUUUCUAUCAAAUUAUUACAUACAAGUAUAGUAAAACCCGUUUAAAUCACAAUUAUUGAAAUCUUACAUUCCCAUAAAUUACUUUCUUUCAUCACCAUAAUCUUAUCUUAAUGAUAUCUGCUUUCUUCCACGUUAUUGUAUAGAAUUAUAGUAAAACCUUCUUAAAUCACAAUUAUUGAAAUCAUACAUAUCCCAUAAAUUACUUAUUUUCACCACCAUAUCAUUGAUUAGUAUUUAAAUUUUUCAUCGUCUUUUCUCUUAAUUUUGAAUUAACUUAGUGUAAAAAAAGAAUUAACUGUUACACGGAUAGAUUUAUCAAUAUUAUUGAAAACUGAAUAUUUAUUGACAAAGAAAAAUGGAAUGCUAGAUCUUUUUUCUACAUAAUUAAAUAUGAAUAUAUAGUUCUAGGUUUAUGAUCAUUAUAAAAAUUUAAAUUAUCUAAAACAAUAUUUAUAAAAAAAAGGAAUAUCUACCAAGUUUUUGAUAUGAGGUACAUUAUUCCAUUUAUACUAUCAUAUUAUAGUAAAAGUAUGUAAACAAAUUUUUAAAAAUUAGUAAAUAAUUGAACAUUUAAUAUACAUUAAUUUUUUAAAAUUAAUAUUAAUGUACCUGUAGAACUAUUGUUAAUUUUUAUAUUUAAAUUAGUGGUAUUUGUAUAAAUUUACAAUAAAUAAAAAGUUUUUAAAAGUAAGUAAAUAGUUAAACAUUUAAAUUGCAUUAAUUUUUAAAAUUAAUAUGAAUGAACAUGUAGAAAUAUUGUUAAUUUUUAUAUUUAAAUUAUUUAUAUUUGUAUAAUUUCACAAUAAAUAAAAAAAGGCACAUGCAAAAUUCUAGGUUUGAUAUUAGUUUUUGUUAUACCUAAUUUACCUUAAUGUCUUUUAAUUGGUUUUAUUGCAUGCCUUUUAAUUAGAGUUAUUGCAUUUCAAUAUAAGAAAAAUGAAAAGCUUUAAUAAAUUAUAUCCAAAAAAUGUUAGUAAUUAAAAUAAAAAAAUUCCCACUUAUAAUUAUAUUCACCAAUCAUUUCCCUCAUCUCCGAUUAUUAUAAAUGUUAAAAUUGUCUCCAAUUAUUAUAUUGUUACGUGUGAUUAUUAAAGUUAACUAUAUUUUACAUGCAUAUUGGUUUAGAAGAAAAUCACAAUUAGUAAGAAGACAAAAGGUUAUAAACAGUUAAUGAGAUAAUAAAUGGUUAUAUUGAUGAUUAAAUUCACUAUAUUAUGUCAUAUUGUUUAAGAAAACUCCAAAAAAUUAUCAAUAAUUAUAAAAAAUAUAACAGAAAAGGUUUACAACUAUUGAAAUUGAUAAAAAUUUGUUGUAUCUAAAUCAGAAUUUUUGGUAUAUUUUUCACUCAAGUUUUGCUGUAUGCACUGGUUUGACACAUACAUAAAAUUUCCUUUUCUUACUGUUACAAUCUCAGUAAAUUAUGUAACAUUAGUUUAGAUAUGAUAAUUUUCUAUUAUUAGAGUUUUUGUAAUUGUAAUAUACAAAAUAAAAUUUUAAUUGCUUUACAUAUAAUAAAUAUUAUGUACAACUAGCGAUUGCUUAAUGUUGUUUAUUAUAUGGUUUCUUAGUCAAUAUUAUACCAACAACUUAGUUUAAAUAUGAUAAUCUUUUACUUUCAGAGUUUUUUUAAAAUGGUAGAAUGUACAAUAAACUUUUAAUUGUUUUGUAUACAAUAAAUGUUUUGAGUAAUUACCAAUUGCUUAAUUUUGUUUAUUAUAUACUUUACUGUACCAGGUGGAAAACUCAAAGUUUUAUACAGGGAUUUAGUAUAUUAAAGGUUUAUAUCUUGGGAAAAUAUAUUCACGUGUUUUGUUACUAGUAAAAAUAAAAAAGAGAAAGAAAGAAAAGUUGGGCUCUGGGGUUUCAUCUGAUCGGGGUUAAAUAUAUUAUCAAUGUUGAAUAAAGGCUUCAAAUUUGAUCACGGCACGAGUCUCACGUCUACUGCCUUGGUCAAAAUCCUACUUUUUUAAAAUUUAAUGUGUUUAAGAAAAUGAUACGAAUAAAUUUCCACAUUUAAAGAAGUGAGUGGAUACACUCAUAUUUCUCCUACUUUCUAAAUCAUUCGUGUUGUCUUUUCGAACACCCAAAAACGGAGCCUGAUCCAAAAAAAAAUAUCUCCGAGACAGCUAAUUCAAACGAACCUAAACGUGUAGACUAGACGGAAAGAUGUACAAACACGGUAGUUGCUGCAGUUGUCUAGUGGACAAGGGGCACGGACGGUUGUUUCCAGCGAUUUUGACCAUUUUUAACGUGCGUAAUUUUUGUUACACGUGAUGUAAUUUUAUUUGCACAACGUGUAAUUUUAGUAUAAAAUUUUACGAAAAUUUUACGGGCUCCACACACGAUAUAAAAAUCGAUGCACAAUUUAUGAUCUGGAUCGUAUAAAAUUUUUUGGUCAAAUCAUGACCAUUAAAUGUUCAAGGACGGUCAUGCCCUGCCCCUUGUCUGUUGCCUAGUACCAAACUGCACUAAUGAAGAGGUCAAAUCAGUUCAGAGCAUACGGACCAAAUCAAAUCUUGUUAAUGCUGUCCUAAAAGUUGUUUUGUUGUAAGGGUAUAUAAAUCGGUAGUACAUAUGAUUCCACGCAAUACGUAAGAGAAACAGAAUCUCCAUUUCUACUUCCUAAAACACAAUUGAAAAUAUGUAUAAUUUCAGAAACUAUCCUUGAGAUUUAUCAUAAUAUCACUUAACUCCCCUAAAAUUUUUAAAAUCUCACUUACCUCUCUUGAAUUGACAUUUCUUAUAACAUUUUAACCUAUUUGGAGGAAAUACAAGAAAGAUAAAACUUUUGUUCCAAUAUUACCCUUAUGUUAUACUUAUGAAAUUUAUAACAAUAAUAAAAAAUAAAAUAAUGUUAAAUUUUUAUAAGGUAUAAAUUUCUUAAUGUAAACUAUUUAUUUUACUUGUAUUGGAAUAAAAGCAAAAUUUACACCUUGAAAAAUUCAUACGCAUGAAGAGAUUAUUUUAGUUUUUAAUACAACUUAAACUAUACCAUGAGUUGAAACAUAUUUCGCCAAAAAAAUAUCUUGACUUCCUUAAUUGUAACUGUGCACGAAAUUGUUUAAGGUGUUAAUUAUUCACCAAAAUCCUUCUAAGUGAUUGAUCUUGAUUAGAUUUAAUUUAUCCACGUACUUUGCUAUCCCAUUAUGACCCUAAUGUAAUGAAAUAUAAACCAUUAUUAACUAACAAUUUGUUUUCUUUUUUAAUUUACAUUUUUUGUUUUAAAAUUUUAUUUUGUUUUGGAUUUUAGGUUAAAUAGUUAUUAAGAUCAAGGGUAAUGUUGUCAAUUUGUGACGUUUGAUAGGAAUAUUUAGUUUUGUCAAGUUGACAAGGAGGUAAGUGAGAUUUUAAAAAUUUCAGGAGAGCUGAGUGAUAUUAUGACAAAUCUCAAAAAAGGUUUCUAAAAUUAUCCCUUGAAAAUUCUAUCUUCCAAUCAAAUACAUCCAUUUUUUAAAUUCAUAACUUCUUUAUAGGAAGAAUUUUGAGAGAUUUGUCAACGUAGAUUUUACUUUACCCGAAAGCAAUCAAUAAUGCCAAUUGCCUCUUGGGCUCUUAUCCCUAACUUACCACUUAAUUGUGACUGUCACUUGAACAUGGCUGCCUUCGAUGGGGUUCCACGUCGGUUAGGCUCCUCUCCUCCUCUCUCUAGAUUAGACCAAAAAAGGUAAUAGCUGCGACAAAAAAAAAAGAAAAAGAAAAGAAAGCAAUCAAUGAUGAUAGCAUACAGCAGUUGUCCGUACGUAGAUGCCACAACUAGAUCGUCUGCGAAUUACUGGCUUUUAUUUCCGUCAGAGAAUUGUCUGCAGAAAACUCAACGUCGCAUUUGCUAAUUUUGAGGCUGCCGACACCAAAAAUUCAUAGGCGAAAUUAUGAUCUGUAAACUUGAACGGUUGUGCUGUCAUAAAUACAGUUGCAUGCCUACUAAUACAGUUGCCCCAUUGCAUGCCUACUAAUACAAGAAGCUCCUGUUGCAUGCCUACUAAUACAAAAAGCUCCCGUUGCAUUUUCUGCCUUCGAAAAUUGACCAAAUAAUAAUGGAGAAACGAAUAGCUAUCAUCGGAGCUGGAAUCAGCGGCCUGCUUGCCUGCAAGUAUGCUCUAGCAAAAGGUUAUCAUCCGACAGUCUUCGAGGCACAAGACUGCGCUGGUGGCCUGUGGAAUCACACCAUUGAGUCUACUAAGCUUCAGAAUCCCAAAGAAGUUUUCUCGUUUUCUGAUUUCCCAUGGCCCUCUUCUGUUAAAGAAACAUUUCCUCGCAACACUGAAGUCUUGAAGUACGUUCAAUCUUAUGCUCAACAUUUUGGCUUGUUACCUUACAUCAAGUUCAACACCAAAGUGAUUGGCAUCGAUUAUGUGGGCGUUUCCCGUGAAGAGAUGCAGGCCUGGGAUCUUUGGGGUGGAACAGGACAGGCGUUUGGCUCCAAAGGCAAAUGGAACAUAAAAGUUCAGCACACUACUGAAGACAAAUCCAUUAAGGUAAUUUUGUGAUCUUUGCCCGAAGAAAAAAUUUGGCACUUUUUUUUUAUUUUUUAUUUUUUAAAAUCCAUCUCAAGGUGAUUUAACAACGCGGGUCAGCCUUUUAGAUCAAUCUUUAUUAAGUUGUCUGAAUGAUGGCAUUAUCUUCAUAAGGGUUCUCAGCGUGUCAUUUCAAUUUCCAGGAAUAUGAGGUGGAAUUUGUGAUUCUUUGUAUUGGAAGAUUCAGUGGUGUGCCAAACAUCCCUGAAUUCCCUCCAAAUCAUGGUCCUGAAAUUUUUGGUGGUAAGGUGUUGCAUUCCAUGGACUACUCGGCCAUGGACAAUGCCAGUGCUGCGGCAUUGGUCGAAGGAAAAAACAUUGCAAUCAUAGGUUCAGAGAAAUCUGCAGUGGACUUGGCUGCUCAAUGUGCAAAUGUAAAUGGUGAGAAAUUGCAAAUUGCAGUGUAUCAUGAAUGAGUGUGACUCGAUAAUUAUCUAUCUCUUCACAUUGACCCCGAAAUUAUAAUGUAUCAAGUUUUUUAAAAAAAAAGUGGCCUUCCUGGAUGCGAUUUAUGUUUUGCUUCUUGAGAUUUCCUCCUCGGAUAUAGAACUUUUAUCUUUCUUGCAUACAUUUGGUCACUUUUCAGAUGCGCUAAAAAGUUCUUGUUGCACAUGAAAGCAAUUUUAAAGUCAUGCAUUGCUUAAUUAACUAAAAUAUGACAUGCUACUCACCAGGGAUUGACAACCCUUGCACAAUGGUUCAUAGAGCAGCUCACUGGAUGCUUCCUAGUUACUAUGUAUGGGGAGGAGUGAGGAUUGAUUACUUGUACUACAAUCGAUUCGCAGAGAUUUUGGUGCACAAGCCUGGUGAAGGAUUCCUACACAGUGCAUUAGCCUUCCUUCUCUCACCUUUGGUUAGCUUCUUAAUUAAUUAAUUAUAGAAAAAAAUGCCUCACAUGCUUUAUUCAAAACAACGAUAUAUAUAAUGCAUAACUCAAAAGGCGUACAAAUGUGAAUUUCAGAGAUGGGGUAUUGCAAAACUUGUAGAGAGCUAUCUCAGAUGGAAAUUUCCCUUGAAGAAGUACAACAUGAUACCACCACAUGGCUUUCUGCAAGAUGUGUUUUCUUGUGAAUUCCUCAUGCUACCAGAAAAUUUCUUUGACAGAGUGGUAGACGGAAGCAUUGUAUUAAAGAAGUCAAAAAACAUCAGCUUCAGCAGAGAAGGAUUGAUGAUUGAUGGAGAAACUCAGCCCUUGAAAGCAGACGUUAUAAUUCUUGCCACUGGAUACCGAGGUGAUCAGAAACUCGGCAAUAUUUUCACUUGUCCAUCUUUCCAGGAGUACAUCUUAGGGUCAACAAGCUCCACAAUAGCUUUAUACAGGUAUUAUUACUGGACUUAAUUUGGAACCGUAAACUCAUCACAAUGUUCUGAGAUCUAUAUUUGUUACUUUUGACGUUGUGACACUAUCUAUUUUAUACGAGUUUGGCGUCACAUAAUUAUUGCUAAUAAUUAAAGGUUUUGAUUAUUGGCCUUAAAUGUGUAUUCCAGGCAGAUCAUUCAUCCGCGAAUUCCACAACUUGCAGUGAUAGGAUACUCAGAGAGCCUGAACAACCUUUACACUCUCGAAAUGAAAUGCAGAUGGCUGGGACAUUUUCUUGAUCAAACCUUUCAAUUGCCGAGCAUAAAGGAAAUGGAGAAGGAUGUUCGCAUGUGGGACAAGUACAUGAAGCGUUAUGCUGGCAAGUACUACAGAAGAUCUUGUCUUGGUGCUUCGCACAUAUGGUACAACGAUCAAUUGUGCAAGGACAUUGGAUGCAACCCCAGGAGAAAGAAGGGAUUCUUCUCAGAGUUGAUUGAACCAUACGGACCAGCUGAUUACGCGGAACUUAAUCCUCGGUCUUAAAUGAAGAACAUUUUGCAUCGUUGGAUAAAGUUGUUUUGUUGAUUGGGUUGUGCAACAAUAUCUUCUUCCAUACCAAAAAAAAAAAAACUUCCAUUCGCAUUCGUUCAACAAUAUCUUAAAUUAGUACCAUUUACUUGAAAAUAAUUUGUGUUUUGAGUACAAUCAAAGUGUGACUUUUGCAACCUUUUACAUUUUGGCUCAUUUAAAAUUUUCUUACUCCAUAUUUCCCGAUUUAGUAUUUACCUAAACCUGGGAUUGGACCGUAGAUUAUUAACUUUGGCCCAGCCCAAUAGUUGACUUAAUCGGUCCGGUGAUUCGGCAUUAGGCCAGAUUGGAUCUCUAGGUUAAUCAAAUUAGGAGUUGACUUUGACCCACUAGGAAAUCAUUCAGUUUUCCGAUUGAAUUUUUUUUUUCUAUAAUACAAUUGUAGGCCUUUGUUUUUUGAAACAAAGUGUAUAAAUACUUUUGACAAUAUUUAUAAAUUGAAUAUUCAUUUAAAUGUACACAAGUCUUAUCACUUGUUUUAGUUUUUAUUUGAUAAUUACAUUUUUUUAAAAAAAAGCUUGUUUACUUUUUUAUUAUACAAUGAAUUCUUUUAACUGUCAAACUGACAAUAUUUGAGUAGCUACAAAAUUAUUUUAUUUUCAAACAAAGAUAAAAUAAUAAAAAAAUGAUGCUAUAUCUUUAAAACAAGUGACACAAAUUUGUUUUGUAUUUGACUAUGUUAUUUAUUUAUGUAAAAGUACCACAAAAUAAAAUUAAAUCUUCUAUUAAUAUUUGUAUGUUCAUUAUAUAUCUUUUUAAGUACAAUAAUUAGUAUUUAAUAGCACUUUAUUAACUAUUUUAUAUAUAUUUAAAUUAUUAUUUUAUAUUUAUAAAUAUUAAAUUAGUAACUGCCGGUUCAACUAGUGACCCACUGGUCGAACCAGUGACUUGUUGAGAUUGGAUUUCCCUUGCAGGGCCGGGUUUAGUAAAUAUUUGGACCUUUUUUUUCUUUUUUAAUUUUGUAGUUCAGAUUCCAGGAUAGGAGUUUCUCCUUAAGAGUUAAGACACCGUAUUUAAAGAGAAAAACAAAAAAGAAAAAGAAAGAAAAAUUCCCAUAUUGAAAUAAUAAUGAUGCGGCGAGAAGGUAUCCUCAAGUUCACCAACUAAACACACAGUCACACGGGCAGCAGAGCUGACAGAUGCAUCCCUCCUCUGUCCACGCAAAGAAAUCCCGCAAAAAAUAAUGCAACAAAAUUAUCACAAAAAUUUCCCUCCCCUUCCCCUCUUCCUCUUGAAAUCCCCCUUAUAUAUAGCCUUGUCUAUAUACCUAUAUAAUACUGCCACCAAUAAACGUCGAGAAGCAAACAGAAAGAACAAAGAAGAAAGCACAUGAUUUGAGAAGCAGAAGAAACGAAAUCACUCAUUUUUCAAAAGAACAAAGAAGAAAUUACUGAAAAGAAGAAGAAGAAGAUUAUUGAGAUGGCAGCCGUGGCUUUUUCGCCUUGGAUGAUUGGAGUUCAAGAUCGUUUUCCUUUAGACCCGAAAUGCCCUUUUUUUCCUUAUAAUUCCCUGUCUCAUCCUCCUCUCCGGUGCUCCUCCCCUCAACAGUUUCGACAAAUUAUCCGGGCCACCUCUGCUGUUGCUCUUGAACCAGUAAAUAUUUCUUGUCCUUCCUUCCCUAACAAAUACUAGAAUUAUUAUGUACAUUUGUUUGAUUUACACUCUCUUGGAUGCUUUAGGAGCUACUGAAAUUUGAUGCCCAGUGUUUUAACUACUGUUAAUUUUCACAAGGAUAUCUUGCAGGGAAAUGAUUUUGAAGGGGGCCAAAGAAAAGAAAAUAUAUGGGAAAAAAUUAUCUCGAGUUUAUUCGGUGCUUAGUUAUCGUCCCAUUCCUUUACCCGACUAUACUUUUGGAAAAUUAUGCUAUUCAUUCAUGGACUUGUUUUGCUUUCUGUAUCAAUCGUGUUUCAAAAUUUAUACCAUUUAAACGUGGAAAAUCUUUUUCUAAUUGUAUGACGAUUUAACGCGGAGAAAAAAGAAUGUAAUUGCUGCAAUGCAGACUAUGAAUAACUUUGUUGCGUUCAGAAAUUCUAGGGAGACUUGCCGUUGUGUUCAGAAGUGAAUCCUAGUUCUUCAUUCAUGUAAAUUUGCCUAUAAAGUGUCUAGUGAUCUUCCAUGCAUUUCGCUAUGCAACAGUCUUUGUCCCAGGAUGAAGGUGGGUGCUUGCACUUAUUGCGUUCAUAACUGUCUCAAAAGUUUUUUUUUUUUGGAGCAUCUGUUAAUAUCUGUUUAACAAUAUGUGUAUAAAUUAUGUAAAUUUUGUAAUUCCAAGGGGGUCAAUCAAUUUUGCCAUUGUCUUAAGUGAUGACUUGGGAAGUUGCAGGGCAAAUGUUGGGUAUACUUUUUGAUUUUGAUCUGGCAGAACGAAGAAGAGAUGCAAAUGUCCCAUUUUCUGUCUCUCCCUAAUAGCGUACUUUUCUACUUCAGGAAGCACAAAUUGAAUCAAAGGAGGGCUCAAAAAUUGACUUGUUUGCCUGCCCAAUUUGCUAUGAUCCAUUAGUAAGAAAAGGUCCUUCAGGAUUUAACCUGUAAGAUCUAAUGCCUCUUUUAUACUAAUACUUUGGACACAUUAUAUGUUUUAUGCAUGAUAACUUUCAAAAGCUGAAUAUUUGCAGGCCUGCAAUUUAUAGAUCUGGUUUUAAAUGUAGAACGUGUAACAAGACGUAUUCAAGCAAAAAUAUCUAUCUUGAUCUUACAGUUACUGCUGGUUCAAAGGAUUACAAUGAAUUUAAACCAGCUGGAACUGAGCUAUUUAGGUAUGCAUAUGUUACCAUCUCUUUGAGUUGCAUGCUGAGCUUUCUAUAACAUGCUUGCAGUCUACACUUUAGUGUCUUUUGUUGGUUUGGAACUAACUCCCCUUAUUGAUGGGCUUGUGAUUUUCGCUAUUUGGUAGCCACUUCAUCAAAAGAUGCGAACGUUCCUUUUGAAACUUAACAUUGGUUUAUGAGUCACUCAUGUCUAAUGUUGGUGUUCUUGCCUUCACUAGGAGCCCUCUUGUUUCCUUCUUGUAUGAGAGAGGCUGGCGUCAAAAUUUUAAUCGUAGUGGUUUUCCUGGGCCUGAUGAUGAGGUAAAUUUUCUUUGAUUGUUACUUUACAGAUAUUUCCCAAUAGGUAAUGAGCUCUUUGGAGUAGAUUCUCUAUAAGAAAGUAUGGUGUCAAUUUAGGAAUCAAUGGGAGCCAAAUGCAUACCCCACCUUAUGAAGGAGAAUUGAUGUGUGUUCCCUUCUGUCGAAAACAUAAGUAGUUUUGUAAGUCACUGGAGAGGUUGGUGAGGAAAGGUUUAGUCCAUUAAAAUCACUUAAUAUAUUCUGGAAAAUUCCUACUUAAAUUGACUUCUAAUUGUGUCCAUAAGUGCUGAAUGAAUGAGCUACAAGUAUCAUGGGUACAGUUCUGAGGAAGCAUUUUAAUUAUGUGAAACAUUGUUGGAUUAUCCUUCUUUCCCUUUCUGACCUAUGUGCCAAAGAAGGCGAAUUCCCUUUUGGAUCAAGUGGCUUACAGGGAAAUCAUAAGAACACUGUAAACAAGUCCAGUGGCUUACAGGGCAAAAGCUCAACUGUGUCUGGGAGCUAUACCAUUUGCGACCUCUUUGGAUAGGAAGCACAAGAAACUUAGCAUUUCGACCUCAAACUAGAAGAGAACCAGCAAACGCCCUAUCUAUCCUUCUUCCUGCUGAAGACUUACUUGGAAUCAUGUGUCAGGGCUGGCUUUUAUCAUGCAUCCACUGUGACCAACAUGUGUUGACAAAGAAAUCAUUUUUGUUAAAUUGAAUGUGCAUGCCCUCGACUUAGUUUGCGUGGAUUAAAGUUGCAAAAAUAUUUGUGGAACAAUAACAGUGGUAAUUAUGCGUGUGAUACAUUCCAUGCAGUUCAAGAUGGCGCAGGAGUAUUUUCAACCUGUAGAAGGCGGUGUUCUUGUAGAUGUUAGCUGUGGAAGUGGCUUGUUUUCCAGGAAGUUUGCCAAAUCGGGGACCUAUUCAAAAGUUGUUGCUCUUGACUUUUCAGAAAACAUGCUUCUCCAGUGUUAUGAUUUUAUCAAGAGUGACGAUUCUAUGUUAAACUCGUAAGUCACUUUGAUUAAAUGCUCUUUGCAGCUGCUGCAGGUUCUGGGAUAUGAAUUAUUGUGCUUCACGCUUUAUAGGCAUGUAAAAUUUUGGUUAGAGAUCUGUAUUUUCUGAAGCUAUUCUGUUUGAAAAACCUGCAGCAAUCUUGCUCUCGUAAGGGCAGAUAUCUCCCGACUCCCCUUUCCUUCUGGUUCAGUUGAUGGCGUUCAUGCUGGUGCAGCCUUGCAUUGUUGGCCAUCUCCUUCUAAUGCUGUAAGCUUUCUUUGUAUUUGGAGUGUCUCAAAUUGCUUUCAAUGUUCUAGAUAUGAUUUUUAUUGCAUUUUUCCUGAUUUAGCUGGUCCAUUAUUUUAUUUACUCAAAGAGUGUAGAAUCGACUCUAGAAAAUUAGUAGUCAAAAGUUUCUAGAUGCCUUUGAGGUGAAUUGGAUAUAUCUGAUUGGUGAUUUAGCCAUAUUGAGGGUGAUCCUUUUAUUUGAUAAGAAUAUUUGAAAUAAUGUACAGUUGCAAUUUCCUUGCCUUUCUUAUGUCAGGUUGCUGAAAUCAAUCGUAUCUUGCGAAGUGGUGGUGUUUUUGUGGGAACUACUUUUCUUCGUUUCAGUUCAUCAACUCCUGCAUUUUUGAGGCCUCUCAGACAGGUAAUUGUUGUCCUUUUUUUUUUAAUUUUUUUGAAGGGUUCCUGCAAACCUGUUGCUGACAAUAAUGGACAUGAUGCCUAGCUUGGGAUCUUUGGUGAACCGAUUAGAAUUUGAAUUGAAAAAGUACCACUUUUGACCUGGAAUAAGUGUUUUGCUACUGAUGUAGAAGUACUAUGGAAUAACCAAUUGGUUUGCGGUCUUGUUAUUUUCAGUAGUGUAUACAAAGCUGGAAAAACUGUCAGAUUUUAGGCUUUUAGUAUUCAGUUCUGGGAGCUGACUUUCGGUUGGCACGUAAGCAAGGGGUGGCAGUGUGGCUAUAGCUGGGGCACCUACAUGGAAUUUGAAAAAGAAAGGAGAAGGAUGAGAGUAGUAAGAUCUGGGAUGUACCAUAUGCUUUGGGUAGCAUUUAGCCCAUAAAAGUUUUCCAAAUACUUCAAUUAUUGAGUACAAUUGAAGUUUACGAACAAAUAGACAUGAACAAGCACAGAGCCAACAGUAAACUCCAUCUUUCUCUGGAGUCGUUCUUCUUAGGGGAAUAAUUUUAAACGUCAUACCUUUCUUUCAGAAAGUUUUUGAUGAGGUAGUGUAGUUGUUUUCUAUAAUCAUAUCUCUAUGGCAGGCUGGGCGGAACUACAACUAUUUGACUGAGGAGGAGAUCGAGGACGUGUGCACAUCAUGUGGUCUUAUAAACUAUACCAACAAAGUCCAACAAUCGUUCAUCAUGUUUUCUGCGCAGAAACCUUGAAAAUUGGCUUAAUUUGAGUUGGAAAUUAGAUGUUUGCUUCUCAAAUCUUUUCCUUUGCCUGGGGUUAUAAUCGAAGUCGAUUCUUUCCGGAGACCUUUGGUAAGACUUCUGAUUCAGUUGAUGUCCAAGUUAUCUCUACCCUGUCCAUGAUAAACCCAAAAUGUAUAGGCCAAAUGUAAAUAGUAGACCGAAGAUGUAAUCUUGAUAUUCCAUAGAUUAGCUUAUUCUGACAUUGAUUCGUAAUCUGUAAUACAAAUAACGGUGCAAUGAUGAUGGUUUCUCAGUGCAGAGCGUACGUCAUUCCAAAUUUCCAGGCUUUGACCAAUGCAGAGCAAGUGGAAAUUUCACACAGUAUCAUGAAUAAUUUGCUAGAUAUGUGUUUAACAUUCUGGCGUUCGCUGUCUUCUCUGGCACCCCGUUGGGCUCCGAUGUUUAUUCCAUGGCAUUGACUAUGACAACUGCUUUUAGAUUAAAUGUGGUAAUAGUUGUCAACAUCUCACGGUGCUACUUGUCGAAUUUUCCUUGAACAAGUGAAUGAUGGGUAAUUCGAAGUCAAGGAUGUCUUAAACACGUAGAAUUGCAGGAAUAAGGGAUCAAAGCAUAAUAUUGUGUGCUAGUCAGUGGAUGGUGUUUUCUGUUUUAGCAGAGUAUGUCAAGAAACUACUCUAAAUAUUCUUUUGUAAGGAAAAUAGGAAUGUGACAGAUCUGAAGGAUUUCUAUCCCUUCAUGUUUAGACACCUUCUCGAGUAUUUUUUAGAGGUUACAAUUGAAUUUUGUUAAGUUUCAAACUUACCGCGUUUGUCGUACUACUAGAAUUUUUUUAAAAUGAUCUUUUGGACGUUAUUAAUAUACAACAUCAAGUUAUUGCCAUGAUUACGUAUGAGCAUGAUAGAGAUCUAUCACACUACUAAAAUCUUUUUGUAAAUGAUGCUUUAGAUGCUAUUAAUACGUAAGGUCAAGUUAUUACCACAAUUGCAUACAUACGAGCAGAGGUAUCAAUGGGUAGGGAUUGGAUUCGGACUUGACCUGGAUUCGAUAAAAUUUUUCCAGAUUUGAGUUGAAAAAUAAUUAUGAUAUCCGAACUUGGAUUCGGACCCGUUUACUCAAAUAAAAAAACUGGUCGAAUGCAGAAUAUUGGAUUCCGAUCCGUAUUCGACCCGGAUUCGAACAAUAUAUAAAUAAUUAUAAAAUAUAAAUAUUUCUAAAUACAUUCUUUUACCAAAUUAACAAUUUAGUAAUAAUUUUGUAGAUUGAUUUGUGGUUAGUUUUGGUUUGACUAUUGCAAAUUAUUUGUGAUUUAGGUUUGUAAUUUGAUUUGUUUAAAUUUGAAAAUUGGAUUGUGAUUAGUUUGGAUUUAAUUUUAAAAAAUUUAAAUUUGGACCUUUUAGAUCCGAAUUCGACCCAGAUACGAUUCCGAAACUCUAAGAUCAAGAUCCGUUGAGUAUACAGGUCAGGUUCGAAUUUACUACAUAAAAAUGAAUCUGAAUCCAGAAUUUUCAAUUCCAACCCGACCCAUUGUCACCCCUAUAUACGAGCAUCAUAGAGUACUCAAUUUCUUUUACCCCUUUGAGCACAACUUGAAAUUAUUUUUAUUUUUUGGGUUGAUUUUUCUUUCCUUUUGGUGAGUCGGUUUUGGUUUGAACAAGUCCCUAAAUUAAAAGGAGGCCAUGUGGAGGCGUGUGCAAGCCUAAAAAACUAGACUAUUUUUUGAACAGAACAAAGUGGUUUCAGGGCUCAGCUGCAGAAAGAUCCCCCCUCGUGCGGCUCAAACGCUGAUCCAUUCUGUUUGUUCCUCCCCUUUUCUCUUCUUUCUUCCACCUCCCACCCUCGUGCAUUUCUGGAUCUUUGACUUUGACCACACAAACCCGAAACUUGAAAGCCUACGUCAUAUUUAAGAAGGCGGGUUCGAACAAUUUUCAGUCCCAACAGUUUGGGACAGUUGGUGGCUUACAUUCUGCCACCAAACCAUAUUGCUAUUCUACGGUCGUGGUUGGUCUACUUACAAACCCAUUUUACAGUUUGUAAUCUUUUUUUUUUACAAAUUUUCCCCUCUCACCACUCGUUUAAUUUAAUUAAAUGAAUAGAGAUGCAGGAAUGUCAAAUUUUUCAAGCACAAAAGCCAGACUUCCAUACACGUUAAAUGAAUAUUUUCCAUAAAGAUUCUAAACAAUUGUUUGCUUGUCGAUUUUUUUUUUGAGAUAUUUCAUUAUUAAUUUUAACUACAUUGCCAAAAAACAAAAGAUUCCAAACCUUAUGAGAAAAAGAUAAGAAGAUAAAAAAAACUUGAGAGUCAAAUCAAAGUACUUCUUAAUAAUUUAAAAUUUUGGUUAUUCACGGUCAUCCUAGUAUACUCUCAAUAAUUACAAGGCAGUGAACUAAAUUUACCUGAUCUCGGCAUUGUUCUAUAGCCUUGGAAUGCUUUUCAAUUGUUGACCCCUCCCAUGACCACAUGAUGUGCACAAAUAUGCUUAUUUAAUUAGUUUAAUUGUAGAAAUAGUAAUGUUACUUUAAGUACAUAAGAUAGAAAAGACGAAUGUACUCUCGUUUAAUAUGCACCUAACAGUUAAGAUAUACGGUUCAAAAUAGCAUGUACCUUAAUUUGGCAGUGCUACAAAUACAAUGAGCGUGUUUAUCGUAUUACUUGAAAUGAUAGUUGGAAUACUUUUUGUUAUAUAAUGUACGUGAGAUAAAAAAAAUUUUUAAAAAUAGAAAAAGUAGUUAGAGAAUGUAUUUAUAAUAUAAGCAAAAAUAAUAGUUUAAAAAAAUCAGGUAUCCAAAAUGUAUCUGUGACGACUGGCCUCGCAAGUUGAGUGUCCACAACUUCUUGAGUUUCUGAUCCCGCUGUGGGUAAGAGCGUUUCAGUGGAGUGACAUGGUGUGAGAUUCAGUCCACAACAAAGCCAACAAAAAAAAUGAACAACAUGCAAGCAAGCAAGCAAGCAAAGAGAGGAAUAUUUGGGGAAUUACGAGGCUCUUAAGCAUAAGCACCCUCCUUUAGGCUUUCGACAAUAUGGAUUUCUCAUAUGAAAGUCAGUUCAUUGGAUUCUCUGCACGUGAGCUUCAUUACUUGCGUACAUUGCUGUGAAAGAUUGCAUCAGACCACGAACAUUAACAAACAAGGGGGGGAAAAAAGCAAAAAGAAAAAGAAAAACAGAAGUUUCAGUCCAGUCAUAAGAUUGCCAACAUUCUGUCUACUAGGUGACUGUUGCAGGCCCUGCUGUUGUAGCGUUCACUAGGCGGUCGAAAGAAUUGAUGACAAUCUUCCCAACUUCAUCACUGGUUUUUAUUUUUUCCCUCUUACACCUCCAUCACUGAUUGUCACUAUUAUUGGUGCAGCACCAUGGAUAUUAAUUCUUGCUAGCUGCUCGAAUUUCCCUUUUUUUUUUUAUAACAAUAGAAGACGUAGCAAUAGUGAAUGGGCUAGCUUGCGACGUUGACAGCUGUCGAUUAUAUAUAUAUAUGUGAGGCUAUAAUAAGCAUAGCCAAUGACUCAAAAUCCAGCUAUUUGAUUCCAAAGUUUGCAGGAAAAAAUAGAAAUAAGGGUUUUUGUUUCGUUUUGGAAGGAAAGAAGGUUAAAUAUGAAUGUGCUGCAACUAGGACUGGGAACUGGCCAUAUGGCAGGAAUGGUUGGACCAAUCAACCAAGCAAGUGGUCAGUAACCUAAUCCUUGUACACAACACAUUAAUAACUGUUAAUUAUCUCUGAUAAAUGUAACAACUUAAGCCUUUACGUAGAUGUUAUAACCUAGCUACCUCGUAGUCGUGUGCGGCAGGGAGAUAAUGCCUGGUUUAAUCUGACCUCCUGCUUAAUCAUGGCGUAUUUCUACUGUACAAUGAGGUCUAUUUCUUAUGCAGCUUAAUUGCUAAGCAUUUGGGUUGGACUGAAGUAAGAAUAUUCCUCAUUUACUUUCAGUUUCUUGUACCUCAAGUUUGAGCUUGCAUGGGAUAGAACGCGGAGCUUAUAUGGAUACGCAAGUAAAACCCAGAUCAAAGUACUCUUUGAAGCUCACAUUCCUGGCAGCAGCAGACACAUUAUUACACGACAACUAUUGCUCGCAUACGCUUUUCCAUCCAUAUCUUCCGCUGCUUUUGUGUAAACUUUCCAUUUCUUAGAUGAUAAUGAUGAAGAGAUCAAAACUUUCUUCUUUUUUUUUUUAAUACAGAUUUACACAAAAAAUCCAUAGUUUUGGAAUGCAAAAUCUAUUAUUCGUUUGACCAUAAUAAACAUGUGCAAUAAAAUACCAAUUAUCAUACAUUAACUUUACAUGGUUCAAGUGUAAAUUUAAGUAAUAUUUUUGCUCCUUUAUUUAUGUAUUCGUAACCUUUGACUCCUAAAAGCAAAUGUUACACCCCAUUUGUCUCCUCUGAGCUCAGUCGAAGACUUCUUCUAUUCCAUCAUAUGUAACUAAAUGUCUAAUCUUCAAAGAUUCAGAUGUUUUUCUUAGAAAAACACAAUGAAAAGAAAAGAGGGAAACUUUCAAUUUCCUAGAGAUCGAUAUAUAGUCAUCUAAAUAGACAGCUUAUCUAUGAUAACAAAGGAAGCAAAAGAGGACUGAAGGAGAGAUCGGAGUAGAGAUUCGAAAUCCGUGGAACCUUCAAACCCCAGGGUACCUCUUGAUUAAGGUUAAAGGUGCAACAAACAUUAAUGGUGCCUAAAAAUUAGCGAAUACUCAACUAAUCAGGUUGGAGGGCUAUUAUUAUCUCAACCAGUGAUCAGUGAAGUGUGUUUUGUCUGUCAACGCCCCACAUAUAUAAGAACGCAUGCUAUUAUUUUAGCCAAAAUUUGAGGAUUAGUGGAGUUGUUGUGUAUUGUUGCCAUUUUUUAUUUCCCAAAAACCGAAUUUCCUGGUACAUGUCUGGUCUCUGCCCAAUGAGAGUUAUGGGAGAUCAAGUCAAUAUGUGACAGCAGACGCAACGCAUGACCUCGAUCUUCUUUAGUUGUAAUGCAUUACCUCUUUAAAAUCAUGGAUAUAAACAAAGCCAAUCAGUGAGAAAACAAACGGCAUCCUUUUCUGUGGUUCUUUGCUCGAUCUGCUUGUCGUCGCUUUUCGGCUGUAUGCCUUUUUCUCUGGUCCGGCACAUUGGAUUUUUCUUCAUCACAUUUUUGCUUCUUCGUUUGGUUCCUCUUUUCGUCUCUUUUGCCGGCAAAUUCAACGAGAACGAGUAUGGUUUGCUAUCCUUGAUCAGUUGGAUAGCUGAACCGCUGUUAUCAAAUUGCACGAUCAAGGACAAUGUUGGUCCACCAAAGGAUUAAUCCUGAAUAAUUAUUUGUACAAAUUAACUAUGCAAAUAGUAACUUAACUUUUGGUUCUCGGACCUUCUGGAUGCAUGUAGUGUACAAUUGCACUAUUUCACAAGCACAUAAAACCUAUAUGUGUGGGUUAAUUAGUGUACUUAUAUGCACCCGGUCUAUAAAGAAUACCCUGACAAGUUAUUCUUGUUAAUUUUCUUUUGACGUCUAAUCAUACCGCUAAACUGGACUCUAUUAUUCCCUCUAAUCAUCACUUAACAUGAACAAGUCAAGAACGUAUAAAUCGUGAUAAAGGUGGGACAAAAAUCGCACUAAUUACUCAAAUUGGUAAAAGUCAAAAUUUAACCCUCUAGAUAAUAAUGCAGUACUGCGGACCUUAACAUCCACCGGCCCUUUGUGGAUUGUAUAAUCUUCUGGUUCAUGAACUUAGCCUUGAGCCAUUCAUCCCCAAGGCAAAUGCUCCCAGCAGAAGUAAGUUACGACUCAGUGAAAUAAAUAAGCUUGUAAAUGCUACUCUACUUUUUUUUUUUUUCUCAAUUUUCAACGUUUCACAUUUUAAUCUUACCUACCUUUCAACUAUAUAUCAUGGACAACCUUGUUCAAGCGUGCUGGUAGUCGAAGAUGAAAAUGCAUUCAGCUCGUCGCCUUAUCCCAGACCCACCAAAGGGCUUUUGUUUCUCUCUGCUGCACUUUUCUUUCUGGUUUUAAAGUUUCCCAGAAGAAGUAAAAAUAGAUAUUUUAGGGACACAAAAUGAUAACGCACGCCACGAUGCAACCUUCAGUAAGUGGACGGCCAGGAACGUGUUUUGCAAAAAUUUAAACGUUAAAGGUUUUAACUCUAUAGGCUAAAAAAGAUAAUAUACUAGUGGCAUAUAAAACAAGUAAAUUCAAGACAAAUUCUUCUUUACUUCUGGCUUAGUUCAAGAAUCAAGGCAAGGCAACUAGCUAGCUCCGCCCUAUUUCACCGAGAAAUGAGAUUCAAAAAAACAAAAAACUUAUUACCGGUAUGUGUUAGGUUAAAAAAGAAAAAGAAAAGAAAUUCCUUGGGGUUCUCACUCAACCAAGGAGUUGUUUAAAUUAAGGUUAAAGCUCUCAACACAAGGAGAUUGGAAAUUUAGUCUAAGUGGGGGAAGUAGGCUAUGGGAGACACGGGAACAGCGCCCACGUUCUCCUCAUAUCUGACUCCCCCUUUCUUUAUUGCUCUUUCUUCCUCACACACACAUUACACGCACUAAUUUAACAAAGGACAAGUGAUACUCUUGACAAUAUGUUGUGUAUCCAAUCUAGGAAUAAAUAUAUCUCCUCCCUGGCCUCUCUUCUCUUGUGAUUCUCCAUAAAUACUGUAAUAUCAUCAAUACCCCAAAGCCUUCUCUCCUUCUCUCUCUCGCUCAUACAUAAUAGUUGGCUUGUCAUCCAGUCAUCCACCAUCCACUUGUGGACGAGUUUCUUGAUCAAGUGAUCAUGGUAGGUCAUCUCAGGACCGGGUUUCAUUUUGUUGUUGUUGGUGUUUUAUUUUUAAUUUAUUUUUUGGUUGUAGAAAAAAUUAGUUUGAAUUGAGGGAAUUGAGUUAACUUGAAAUUUAAUAUGAUGAUCAUAUGUAAAAAUAUAAAUCUGUAGGGAAUUCACAAGCCUGCGUGGUUGGAAGCGCUGUAUGUGCAGAAAUUUUUCGUGCCAUGCUCAAUUCAUGAAAGUGCAAAGAAGAAUGAAAAAAACAUCUGCUGCUUGGAUUGCUGUACAAGUAUUUGUCCGCACUGCGUCAUGUCUCAUCGAUUCCAUAGGCUUCUUCAAGUUCGACGUUAUGUAUAUCAUGAUGUUGUUCGAUUGGAAGACCUAGAGAAACUCAUUGACUGCUCCAACGUUCAGGUAAUCAGAAAUAUCUAACCUGAAAAUAUGGCCAUGUUCUAGUGCUUAAACUUGAUUUUUCUACUUGAAUUUCCCUCUAUAUCGUGCCAAUAAAUGAGCUGAUCAACACCUAUAUUGUAACAACCUGCAGGCUUACACAAUUAACGCUGCAAAGGUGGUGUUCAUCAAGAAAAGACCUCAAAACAGGCAAUUUAAGGGGUCCGGGAAUUUUUGCACCUCUUGUGAUAGGUGUCUCCAAGAACCCUUCAUUCAUUGUUCUCUUGGGUGCAAGGUAAAUUCCAAAUUCAAGUCGAUUUUCGAUUCUGUGAGUCUCACAUCCCACAGACAUAUCUUCUUUAGCAAAAUGUACUACUAAAUACUUGUUCGUCUAUGGAGCCCAAAUAUAAUCAUCAUACAAUUAUCAUGAAUGUUGUCGAAAUUAAUUUGCUUUUAUAGGGUAAUACUUAAACACGAUAGUUUUGCAUGUAUUACAAGUUGUGGUUGUAAAGUCUUGGAAAUUAUGAUGGUAAGUAGCAAAAUUUCGUGAUCGUUUUAAUGACAACCAGGUUGACUUUGUGCUUAAACACUACAAGGACCUCUCUCCAUUUCUGAGGGCAUGCAAAGUCUUACAACUUAGUCCAGACUUCUUCAUUCCUCAAGAUUAUGGUGAUGAUGAAAUGACAAAUGAGACCCCUCAUUCAACAAUUGUGGACUGUGACGAGCCAUUGAGCUCCUCAUCGGGCUCUUCGGGGUCUGAGAAUAUGAGCUUUAUGUGCACCGAAUUUGUGAGGAAGAAGAGAAGUGGAUUAUACGUUUGUGGAAGAUCAGCAACUAAGAUCACAGAUGAGGAUAUGGCUACAAGCAUGAGUAGAAGAAAAAGAGUUCCCCAUAGAUCACCACUAUGCUAGACAGUUCUAAAGAUAAUUAAUAGUAACUUUUUACUACUUAGUUCUUUGAGAUUUGACCGACUCGAUCAGGCAACAAUUGUCACCAUCCUUCCCCUUCCCCAAAACCCAGCCUACCCACAACAAAAAAAAAAAAAAAAGAAAAAGAAGAAAAAGAGGUCCAAAAAGAAUCCUCUCCUCCUCAUUGUGGGUUAAUUAAUUUACUUGGUCGGGCUGUUUUGUCUUAAUGGCAUCACGUGAUUCCCAAUUCCAAGUUAUGGUUUUGUACAUUUUGUCUUGAGAUUUUCACGUUGUACUAUUCGUUCUUAAUUCAGGUUAUGAUUAUAGAGCCGUUUUUGGUGUAUUUACUGCUAAUGUUUUCUUCAAAUACAAUUCAUUAGUAGGGUCGUACCUUUCUUUUGCUGUAAGCGAAACGUAGCAUUUGUUUUAACAAUCCUGGAACCUCAAUUGUUACUCAAUUAAGGUGAAGAAUUUGUUGGACAAGUUCAUCAUACAUACAAUCACUGCUUUCCGUGAAUAUUUCUGAAUACUUCCACAACAUAUAAUAAAAUGGCUUAAGCACAUGUAUAUAGGAGGUACAAUUUCAAUUGCAGAGUGUGAAUUAUGUGCUAUUUAUGUGGUUAUAAACUGGCUUAAGGUUUCGUUAGACCGUUAUACAGCAGUAGCAAAAUAUUUACUCGACGUUUACAUGUAGAUCUUGAGGAAUAGCUUUCUUAGAACACAAAAUAUUUUUAUUUUCGUUCAUCGUUGCGACUAACCAUAGAAAAAUGUUGUAAACGAUGAAGCAAUUAACAUCUGCUAGUUAUAAGGACAAAAGGCGAAUUUGGCACUAAACACAAAAGAAUCUUCGACUUCAUUUCCUACAAGUGAGUUCCUUCUAUGUUCUACCAUCAAGUCAUCAGCAUGGGUAAAACAUCGCAUGUUCCUCCCAAAAAAAUAAUAAUAAUAAUCAUCGCAUGUCACGGAAGUGGUAAAGCCUUUUGGAAGGGAAACCCUGAAUUAAAGUGCAUAGCAAUUCCCCAUAAAACUAUUAAUGAAGGACGUAUAAAUGUUUGUCUCCCAAACUUGAUGGAAAUUUCACUAUAUUGAGAAGAGCAUUCAAUAGUAUUGCUUUGGAUACUGGCCCAAAGAUGCCUCAAAAUUUUGUUGCAGUCGAGUGCAAGCAUUUGAGUCUUUUGCUUGUAGAUGAUCAAUGAACAGGAACUUUCAUUUUUACCUUCUCAUGGUAAAUUGCCUGUAAAUAUCUAACUUAGACGUAUUCAUAUGGGAUUGUCACGAUUCUGUUUUAUUACUUGUAUGCGAGUAAGUAGUAACAUAAUCUUCGUCUCCUUCUCUUGCCGAGGCCUUUUUUGACUUUGACCAUUUUGGUUAUUUCUACCUGCGUAUAUUCUUGACCAGUCAAAUGCGGAAAGAGUGGAAACCCUACUGAUACACACAAUUUAUUUAGGGUAAACAAAUAUCAACUGUAGCUUUUACUAAGGCACCCAACCCGUAUGGCCGUGUCCAAACUUGCUGCUCCUUCCGUUUCUCCGCUGGGCUUUUUUUUUUUCUGGUUUCUUGUUUUACAUGGGGAAGAUAAUGUACAUGUUAAAAAGUUUCUCUAGUCAAUAAAAUUUGGAAGCUUAGAACUUAGAAGGGUAACACUUUUGAUUCCAAGGCCGAGUUUGGGGUUGUGAAGGGAAAAGAAAGGGAGAGAAUGUCUAAGCUAUGGGAGGAAAGAAAAAAGAGAGAGAGAGGAGAAGAGAGUUUUAACUUGUUUGGGAGUUUAAGAAAGAAAAAAGAUAAUUGUGAUAUCGGUAACUCAUUCAUUGGUACUUUAUAGACAACUGUGGCGUUUAAACAAGUUUGGAAGUUUUGCUUCCACUUUUUUGCCGUUUAUAUCCAUAAUUGGAGAUAAGGGUUUUUGUACUUGUUCAUCUCUUCAUUGUUCUCCCUUUCUUUCCGUUUAAGGUGAGAGAAAAAAGAUUUACAAACAAAGGAAAGAUGUGCGUUUAACUUCCUUUUUCCUUCUUUCUUUUCAAAUCCCUCCAUCCAAACUAGGCCUAAGGUACUCACCAUUUUCAAUCUUGUUUCUGCAGAAUAAUCCAAUUUAACCUUUAGCUUUCGAAAAGAAUAAAAAAAUUCCAUCACAGGCAUGGUGAAUCCACUUUGAGAAAAAGAAACGAAAACCGUAGUACGCGUGAAAACUACUGAUUUCUCAUGGCCCAAUGGGCCUGCUUAAAGAAUGAGACGUUUUGUUUUAAAACAUUGGGCUCAAGAGUUGGUCAUCGGGCUUCCGGAAGAGCCUUGGAGGUCAAAUUUUCACGUGCCUAACCAGGGACUGAAAAAGCAGAGUUGUGUCCGUCACGAAUGACUUGGUGGAAUUCUUUGUUUGGUGCAGUGGAGGGGCAGAGGCCCUUUAAGGAAAGAAACUAAUCUUUGGGCUCCUAGCUGGCUCUUUAAGCUCUAUCAAAUGAAUUUGGACUCUCCAAAAUGACCAGAUGAACUCCGUCGUUAGCACUUAACAAUUCUGCUUCAGAGGAAUGAAUAAACUACUUCGUUAGCAUGAUUAUAGGUGUUUAGCAUAGAAAUCUGUCUAAUCACGAUUUGCUUAGCAUAAUUAUAGGAUAUCUGUUUAGCAUAUUUGUAGCAUAAUUACAGGAGAUUUGCUUAGUAUAAUAGUACUUUUUUUUUUUUUUUUUAUAAUGUAUGAAUAGAUGUUGUAUUCUUGUAUAGAAAUAAACUUUUAAAUGAAUGUGGUUUAGCACUCCAACACGUACGUAACUCUCCUAUCUUUCAGAAUAUACGCUUUAAUCUAAUGUGGCUUCGUUUGAAGUAAAGUGGAAUUGCGGAAAUGUUAGUAUUAAGGAUUAAUGUCAAUAAUGCAACAUGUAUUUAUAUUCGCUGGUAUAUAAAAAAGAUUAAUCACAGUUGUAAAGCACAAACUCCUAGCUAAUGUAUGCAAUAUGCAGUCAUCUCACGUCGCACGAUGUAUAUAGCAAUUGUAAUAGUGCAUUGGAACCAACAAAGGGAAUUUGGUUUUGAAACUUAAGCUAUGAAAUGUAGGCCUAAAAAAUUAACCAAAAACUUAUAGAAUAUAUAUUUGAUAAAAUUAAUGUGUAUGAUGAGACAAUUUACACACAUACAAGUAUGUAUGGAAGAACAAGGAAUAAAUAUCAACAAUAUAUUAUUAAUCACACAUAACAGCAGACUCUCAAAUUUCAGUCGCCUAAACUGAUACAAUAAUAAGACUCCUCCUUAUAACUACAAGAAAUUUGCUAAUAACAUCCUGAUUUCUACAAUAAAACUAUUAAAAACUUGACUUGAUUAAAACACUGCUAAAUAACCAUUUAGAAACUUCUAGUUUUUAGACUUGAUUUAGUAUACCAGCAUGAAAUAGGGUUUAUAGCCCAACAAAAGACAUGGUACAUCAGCUCAUGUAAAUCUACAUCAACAUGGCAUAUAUGGGAAUACCGGCAUCAUCUAAGGGGAUUGUGGCACUCGAAUUGAAAUCACCCGGCUUUGGCAAACCAACGUCCACUGCAACCAUAGACCUGGCAAAAUGACUGCACUGCGAGCAGCGAUAGCAGCACUACGGUCGAAAGGAAAGUGAGACACUUCCAGGAACGAUACACAUGUUUCUUCAAAAACCUGUAGGUUUUCAAUUUUCUGGUGCUGUUAAAUUUCUCGUUUACCUUGUCCACGGCUACCUCUACGGAAGACUUGUUCUCCGGGGACUUGCCUGUUGAUCUCCUGAUCCCAUUAAAAAGAUUAGCAAUUUCUUCAUCACUCAGGCUGCCUUGAAUAAUGCCCUCUUUCUUUAGCAAAUCCACAUCCUUGGGAGUGUCUACUAUUCCGCAUAUCAAAUCCACAUAUUCCGCGAGUUCAAGGGUUCUAUUGGAACCCGGUGGAGCAACUGCAGCCUCGUAAGCCACCAAAUUGCGCGGUAUGAUCUCUGAAUCAGUGUUCAAAGUGAUCUCAGGGAGAUAAAUGUGUUCUCGUCUUCAUCAUAACCAACGUCCCUGAUGCCCCCACCUGUGCGCUUGAAAUCUAUCUUAGCAAAUGUUUUAAGCUGAGAAGCAGAUGGGAUAUCAAUUUCCUCUACUGAACACUCACUCUUGUCAAUCUACCCGAUCUUAUUUUUGAACAGCUCUAAAAGCCCCUACCAAGGGAAGCUUUUCAAGAAAGAAAUAUCCUUCUCCAGACCUCCCAUAUCGAACACGCUGGCUGCUGUGUCUACAAUCCCCAGUGCGGUUGAAGCCUCACCUUCCACUUCAUUGACCGGAAUGCUGAAAUAACGAUCACCUGUACGUAAAUAAUCAUCGUCCUGAAUUCCCCGAUUGUUGACAAUAAGAUAGUACAAAUGAGCCAGGAGAUGGACGCCAGCUGGCAUAUGACGACGAUGGAUCUUUUGCUGAGAAAUUUUGAGGGGGAAGUGCGCCCAGCAGAAAAAGAAAGUGUCAUGAAUCUCAGAGCGAUCGGAGACUCAGAGAUUCUUUCGUACUGGCAUUGGUUUAAUUGGUUUAAUGGGGCCAGAAUCAAGUAAACAACGUAAAGCCUUUCUUUAGAGGUGGCAAUUUGUCCCAAGUCCCAAUAGGUUACCUAUGCCCAUGGGACUUUCGGCAGGAUGGGUAUUGGAAUUUUAUAUUAGAUUUAAAAUGGGACAAAUCUCAAUUAUACCCAUUAAUUGAUGGAAAAUUUUGGAAAAUACUUGGAUACCCAUUGGGCUCAAAUAGCAAGGGCUCCGUUUGGAUUAACUAUUUUUGGAGGUUAUUUUUGAAAUAUUUUAUUGUAGUAGUGUAUAUGAAAAAUUUUUACUAUAAAAUUUUUUUGAAAUAUUUGAUAUACUAAUAUGGAUAGGAUGUUUUUGAGUUAUUGUAUAUUACUGUAACAUUGUAUUUGAAAAUAUUUAUAAUCAUACCAAACAGAGUCUUAGAUUCCAAACAGAGCCAAUCCAAACAGAGUCUUAGAUUCAAAAAUUAUCUUAAACAAUUUUUAUAAUCAUACCAGCGAAUAUAAUCUAGUAGUCUUCCUAGUCAUUAUUCAUAAGAAUUUCCAGCAUUUCAGUUAGUUUAGACCUAUCAUCCUUGGAUAAUGAUGAGGAUAAAUUUUCAACACCCUAAAUACCUUGGCCAUCUUGAUAUAUGUUGGAAUAUGUCUGUAUAUCUAUCUUUUCCUUUAUUUGUUAAUCCAAUUUUUUGUGAAAAUCCUGAGUAUAAAGCACUUGCAUGUUUAUUUAAUAAAACUAAAAGAAAUUUAAUAAAUCAAAAAUAUUAAAAUUAUAUAAAAAAUAAAAAA
RNAcentral lists this long non-coding RNA (57733 nucleotides) under Coffea arabica (coffee). Its description in RNAcentral is "long non-coding RNA (CARA_LNC004474)". The record is from RNAcentral. Lineage: Eukaryota; Viridiplantae; Streptophyta; Magnoliopsida; Gentianales; Rubiaceae.